AAGAGAACAAGGUGGCCGAUGCUCUAAGCAGAAAAGGCUCCCUACUCACAAUACUGUCCUCGGAAAUCAUAGCAUUCAAACAUUUACCCGACUUAUACGAAGGUGAUACUGACUUCAAGGAUAUCUGGUACAAAUGCUCCAACUUCUUAGACGCUGAUGACUACCACAUUGUUGAAGGAUAUCUAUUUAAAGGAGAACAAUUAUGCAUCCCGCACACCUCACUACGUGAAGCCUUAAUAAAGGAAGCACAUUCUGGAGGGCUAGCUGGACAUUUCGGACAGAACAAGACAUUGGAGAUCACUUCCAAACGAUACUACUGGCCGCAAAUAAGAAAAGACUCCAAUAAUUUCGUAAAAAGAUGCCCCAUCUGCCAAAGAACCAAAGGCUCCAGCACGAAUCCAGGAUUAUACUCGCCACUACCCAUCCCGACCUCAAUUUGGGAAGAUUUAUCAAUUGACUUCGUGAUUGGAUUACCAAAAACACAAAGACAAUUUGACUCAAUAAUGGUCAUAGUGGACAGAUUCAGCAAAAUGACACAUUUCGUAGCAUGCAAAAAGACAAAUGAUGCAAUCUACAUAGCCAACCUCUUCUUUAAAGAAGUAGUACGACUACAUGGAGUACCUAAAAGCAUAGUAUCAGACAGAGAUGUCAAGUUCCUGAGUCACUUUUGGCGAACACUGUGGAAGAAGUUUGACACAACACUGAAAUUCAGCACCACAGCCCACCCACAGACAGAUGGACAAACUGAAGUAACAAACAGGACCCUCGGUAAUCUGCUACGCUGCCUUAGCGGGUCAAAACCAAAACAAUGGGAUCUAGCAUUGGCUCAAGCUGAAUUCGCCUUCAAUAAUAUGAAGAACAGAUCAACAGGAAAGUCCCCCUUCGAAGUAGUUUAUACCAAACUACCACGAUUAACCUUUGAUCUCACUACACUCCCCACAACCGUGGAUCUCAACAACGAAGCAGAAUGCAUGGCAGAAAAUAUCAAAAACUACCCAAGGAAGUCCAUGAUCAUCUUAUACAGACAACAGACUCCUACAAAAAGGCAGCAGAUAAAAAAGAAGACAAGCCCACUUCAAUAAAGGAGACCUAGUAAUGGUACACCUGAAAAAGAGCAGAUUUCCUACUGGCACCUACAACAAGCUGAAAGACAGACAAAUUGGGUCAUUCCCUAUAUUAGAGAAAUACGGAGAUAAUGCCUUCAAGAUCGAUCUACCACAAGACAUACACAUACACCCAGUCUUCAAUGUUGCUGAUCUAAAGCCAUACCAUGCACCAGAUCGUUUCAGGCUUGCUGACUGAUGGACCCUGGGACAAGUCCAUCCUUAGGGGGUGGAAUGAUGUAAACUAUAGCUAGUUAGUUAGUAAAAAUCCCUAACUAAUUAGAAAUACAGCUGUAACUAACUUUCUAAAACAGUCUUGUAACUAACUAAAUAAAACAACCUUUUAACUAACUAAAUAAAACAACCUUGUAACUAACCUUGAGAUAUCAAUAUAUAACAGUCUCCUAGCCUGAAAUAUGGCAGAGAAUUCUUUUGAAAAAUCAAUCCAACUUGAAUUACAUCAAUAUUGGUAAAAUGGUCUAUCGAUAAUGAAAAUCUAUAACUAAUACACAAGUGAUGGACUAACAAUUUAAAAUAUCAUCGUAUUUAUAAAUCACGUGGUUUUGUGACAUAUUUGCUAAUGCCAUAGAAACCUAAAUUAUAUAUACAUUUUAGGUUAGUCACGAUUUUGAGUCUAGAGUUUAGACUUUAGAGAAGCGUCGUAAAUGAACUCUUUAAUCUUUCAGGCCUUUGCGUCUGGAUCUAUAAUACAAUUGUUAAUUUCCUCUAUUCGUGAACAAAUUUAACUAUAUGUUAGUGAAUAAUCGCAUAAAUCUCAUUGUCGUUUCUUACCGUUCACAUUUUUACUUUUGAAAAUACUUUUGUUAUCAACUUAUCUAUGACAAUUAUCUUUAAACGAAAGAUUCUUUUUAAGUCGUCAUGUAUGAAACGAAGUGAUCUUUUCGUUCAUAUUCUUAACAGGUCGGUCUCUCUCCUGCUAUUCAAAAUCUUAGUACUGCCACAUCGAUGAAGAUGACCAAGGUUUUCCAAGCGUUUCUCAUGCUCCAACCCCAACUCGUAGACCUUAUCCACGAGAUGCAGCCAGAUUGUAUCGUUUCUGACGUCUUUUACCCAUGGACGAGUGAUGUGGCAGCCGAGCUCAGAAUCCCACGGCUUGCCUUCAACGGUUCAAGCUUCUUCAGUUAUUGUGCGGAACAAUGUAUAAAGGAGCAUAAGCCACAUCUUGAAGUUGAAUCCAACAAUGAAAAGUUCAAACUUCCGGGGUUGCCUGAUGUUAUUGAAAUGGUGAGAUCUGAGUUGCCAAGUUGGAUCACUAGACAUAAACCAGAUGGUUUCUCACAAUUGCUUGAUGUCAUUAGAGAAUCAGAGAAACGAUGCUAUGGAAUGUUGAUGAAUCGCUUUCAUGAAUUGGAAGCCUCAUAUGAAGAACACUUGAAUAAGGUGAGGUUUACCUCAAACCAUUGUAUAUAACUACACAUUACUCGUUUCUUAACGUAAUCUUUUGGUUUUGAAAUUUGUACUUGAUUUAUGAUCACGAUUUCGUUAGAAUUAUAUUAUUCAUAUUUUUUUAAAAAAAGAGAAUAUUUGAGAACAAAAAUUACAUCUUGAAGUAUAUAUUUGUUUAGAAGCUUGAUUUUUAGAAGUUGUUAAUUAAGCUUCACAUAUUUUUAAAACACACUUGAAUUCUAAGUUAAAGUUUUUCAAGAAAACUACAAAUUUUACUUUAAGAACGUGUUUUUAAAAGGGUUGUUGUCAAAUAAUACAACAUGAGACAAAUUAUUUACUUAUGUAGCAUGAAAUUUUAUUGUCUAAUAAACACUAAUAAUAUAUAGAAAUAGACAUGUGAUAAAAAAAAAUUAUCAUUACGUUGGCCUGUUGCACCCAGCCUUGUAUAUCUCCUUCGGUCGCAAAGAAGAAAAAAAUAUUCAAAUUAUCGUUUUUAAAAAAGAGAAGUUUGUCACGUGGUAACGUGUAAUCUGGACAUUGAAUAAGCUAUACAAAAUAGAUGGAGCUCAAGAUGCACCCAAAUAUUUUUGAAUUGAUUCGAGACUUCGAGGAUUUGUUUUUAUUAUUAUUAUUAUUGUUUGAUAGAUUAUAGGGAUCAAAACAUGGAGCAUAGGGCCAGUAUCAUUGUUGGCAAACAAUGAAAUUGAAGAUAAAGAAUCAAGAGGUGGAAACCCCAACAUUCAAACCACCAACUUACUCCAAUGGCUCAAUGAGAAAGAACCAAAUUCAGUUCUCUACAUCAACUUCGGAAGCUUGAUUCAGAUGAGUCGUAACCAAAUAACCGAAAUAGCACAUGCGAUUCAAGAAUCCAGUCAAAGUUUCAUUUGGGUCAUAAAAAAGAACGACGAAGACAACGAUGACGACAUAGUAAACAAAGGGUUACAAAAAGGGUUUGAGGAGAGAAUGAGUAGAACCAAAAAGGGUUUGAUAAUAAAGGGAUGGGCUCCACAAUUGAUGAUAUUAGAGCACAAAAGUGUUGGAGGGUUUUUGACUCAUUGUGGUUGGAACUCAAUUCUUGAAGGAAUAAGUUCAGGCUUACCAAUGAUCACAUGGCCAUUGUUUGCUGAACAGUUUUACAAUGAGAAGUUGUUGAUUGAAGUGGUGAAGAUUGGAGUGGGAGUUGGGUCAAAGAAAUGGUGGCAUUUGGGAGAAGAACCAGAAAUUAUUAAGAGGGAAGAGAUUGGUAAGGCCAUAGCUUUUUUGAUGGGUGAAAGUGUUGAAGCUUUGGAAAUGAGAGAGCUAAAGAAAUGGGAGAGGCUGCAAAAACAAGUGUGAAUUGUGGUGGUUUCUCUCAUACCAACUUGGUUUCAUUGUUUGAGGAACUUCAAGAAAUGAAGCUUAAGAGAGUGAGGAAUGGUCAGAAGAAUACUUAGAUGUUUGUCAAAGGAUAAAGUAUUGUUUUUCUUUAGGUCAGUCUAUUCAAUCGAACGGCUAUAGUUUGUUGUAAGGUAAAGUAUUUUUGUUCUAAAUAUAUUUUGAGUUACUUUUACUAUGCGACUAAGUGAGUUGUACUAUUGUAAUCUUCUACAUUUAGUUUAUGAGAUGCAUGUUCAUGUUUAAAAAUAUUUGUGAUUCACCCGAGUGUCAAAUUAUAAAUUAUCCUCUAGUAAACUUUUUUAAAGAUAAGAAUUAUUUUGUGAUCAAGGAGAUGUACAAAGUUUGUUGGACUAAAGUUGGAUAAUAUAAAUUUGUUUUCUUCUAUUGGCUUAAGGCCUUGGUUCCAAUUUAAUUAAGAAUCACUUCUAGAAUCUUAGUUGAGAUUUUCUUAAACAUUUGACGAAGUCUACAAAAUGUGUUAGAAUAGAAUUUGUAAUCGUAACAAAAACUCUAAAUUGAUUCUCAUGUUUUGCAUGAUAUUUUUCAAACCAAGUCCAAGGACGUAAAUUUAUAAGCUUAUGGAAGUUUAUUGAUUAGAUUACUAAAUCCUAUAUGAUUUAAAUUAUACAACCUUCCAAGCGUAGGGGCAUAAAUUAUUUAAAAGAAGUGAAUUUGUUAUCAAGCUGUCAAUAUUGAUGUAGAAAAAAGCUUUUGGAGAAUCUUUAUUUCAAGAAGGAAGCUGCCCUUCCUAGAAUCAAUUUGAGCAUUAACAUGGCUUUUAGAAUCAAUUUGAGCAUUAACAUGGCUUUUAGUCGUUGGAAGCUGCAAAGAGAGCGUUCCUAGAAGAUGAAUGUUGAUGUUGCAUGGUUGGAGAACACUCAUAGAGGUGGGACUGGUUGAAUUAUUCGUGAUUGGGAACCCAGUUAGGGUUGGGUGCUUUCCAAUGUCUUUCAAUUGGUCAAUCCAUGCAUGAGACGAGUAUCAUAUGCUAAUGUCAUAGUCAAUUACUUAAGUCACACCUUGGUUUUCCAACUUAUGUUGGGGUUUAGUAGAACAAAGUUGUCCAUAAUCAAGUAGGUUUGUCUUCUUCAUUUGGGAAUUCCUCUUUCUAGGAGAGUUUUUCUCCUUUUAUAUUAUCUCUCAUUCUCGGGAGGGAUUUAUGAUAUAUGUAUGAAGAAAAAACAAGUGAAUACUACUAACAGAAGUGAACCACGAGUUUUUAAGUACAACAAUCGAGGUAUGAAGGAUCGAACCUCCCAUCUCUAAGAAUUUUCGUGGGGAUCCUCUCCGCUUUUCUUGCCUAAGCAAAACCCGACCCGCCUAGUAGGUCCUUAGAGUUUUUCACCCGGCAUGGCAGCCGGUAGAGAGGGAGAGAGAAAAAAAAAGAGGGAGCCAAGCCAGCCGCUUAGGUCAAGUAAAAUGCGCGCCGAGAUCCCCCGGUUUCAGAAUUUUCGUGGGGAUCCUCUCCGCUUUUCUUGCCUAAGCAAAACCCGACCCGCCUAGUAGGUCUUAGAGUUCUUCACCCAUCAUGGCAGCCGGUAGAGAGGGUGAGAGAAAAAAAGAGGGAGCCAAGCAGCCGCUUAGGUCAGUAAAAUGCGCGCCGAGAUCCCCCGGUUUCAGAAUUUUCGUGGGGAUCUUCUCCGCUUUUCUUGCCUAAGCAAAACCCGACCCGCCUAGUAGGUCCUUAGAGUUUUUCACCCAGCAUGGCAGCCGGUAGAGAGGGAGAGAGAAAAAAAAGAGGGAGCCAAGCCAGCCGCUUAGGUCAAGUAAAAUGCGCGCCGAGAUCCCCCGGUUUCAGAAUUUUCGUGGGGAUCCUUUCCGCUCUUUUUGCCUAUGCAAAACCCGACCCGCCUAGUAGGUCCUUAGAGUUUUUCACCCAGCAUGGCAGUCGGUAGAGAGGGAGAGAGAAAAAAAAAGAGGGAACCAAGCCAGCCGCUUAGGUCAAGUAAAAUGCGCGCCGAGAUCCCCCGGUUUCAGAAUUUUCGUGGGGAUCCUCUCCGCUUUUCUUGCCUAAGCAAAACCCGACCCGCCUAGUAGGUCCUUAGAGUUUUUCACCCUGCAUGGCAGCCGGUAGAGAGGGAGAGAGAAAAAAAAGAGGGAGCCAAGCCAGCCGCUUAGGUCAAGUAAAAUGCGCGCCGAGAUCCCCCGGUUUCAGAAUUUUCGUGGGGAUCCUCUCCGCUUUUCUUGCCUAAGCAAAACCCGACCCGCCUAGUAGGUUCUUAGAGUUUUCACCCAUCAUGCAGCCGGUAGAGAGGGGAGAGAAAAAAAGAGGGAGCCAAGCCAGCCGCUUAGGUCAAGUAAAAUCGCGCCGAGAUCCCCGGUUUCAGAUUUUCGUGGGGAUCCUCUCCGCUUUUCUUGCCUAAGCAAAACCCGACCCCGCCUAGUAGGUCCUUAGAGUUCUUCACUCAGCAUGGCAGCCUGUAGAGAGGGAGAGAGAAAAAAAAAGAGGGAGCCAAGCCAGCCGCUUAGGUCAAGUAAAAUACGUGCCGAGAUCCCCCGGUUUCAGAGUUUUCGUGGGGAUCCUCUCCGCUUUUCUUGCCUAAGCAAAACCCGACCCCGCCUAGUAGGUCCUUAUAGUUCUUCACCUAGCACGGCAGCCGGUAGAGAGGGAGGGAGAAAAAAAAGAGGGAGUCAAGCCAGAUGCUUAGGUCAAGUAAAAUGCGCGUCGAGAUUGCCUGGUAUCAGAGCUUGCAUGGGCAACCUCUCCGCUUUAGAUGGAAUUUGAUGAAAUGCUUAUGUCGAAAGUAGGCAUUUCUCUACAGAGUCCUAAUGGUCAUAGAAAUUUAUUAUGCUUUGUAUUUAUUUUACUUUGUUGUCAAGAAUCAACUUCUUUUCUGAUUUGUAUGUUUAUGUAUAUGUUGCAUCUCUGUCUUGUUAUCAUGUUGUAUUUCAUUGUACUCAAUAGUCUGAUUUGCAUUUUUUAUUUGUGUUAAUAAGUGUUCGUGUAAUUGCAAUUUUGUUCUUGAAGAUAUUUUGCUUGAAUCAAGUUAGUUCUUUCUAUAAGGAUCAUUUUCUUGUAAGGUUAUAACUUCUUGUCCAAUUUUUCCAACAAACAUUUCAACUUGUAGCAGGUGAAUCCCUUCUAAAUAAGAGCUUAAAAAGAAAAAACAAUUGGAACCUUUAACCAUAAAAUCAAGGUACUGCAUCUUAUUUGCAAUGAAUUGCUAUAAUUUUGUAGAGACUCCACAAAUAAAAUACUAAAUUACCCAAACAGUUGGCAAACAGAGACAGCACUCUGUAGAUCUUUAUUUAUAUAUAAAUGCCAAAAGAUACAGUAGAAGGAAAUAUAAAAGAAAGCAAUAAAGAUGAUAAUAUCAUGUCAAACCUCCCCAGGAAAAGAUAGUAGUCCUUCCUAGACCUAGCAGCCUCUACAGACCAAAUGAAGACAAAAAGUUAACCUAGCCCCCAAUCCCGAUAAGGCCUUAUUUAUAGCUCUUUUCUCAUUCUUCCCCGUGGGCCCCACUCUCAUGUUCUUUUCCUAAUAUUCUCCCCUUUUCUGCUGCGUGAGCUUUUACGUUUUUACCCCUCCUUUUGUAUGUAUGGAUAAUAGGGGGCCUUACAAUACCCCCGGUUCCAGGUUCACCUUGUCCUCAAGGUGAAAGUCAGGGAAUUGUUGGUUCAUUUGGAAAACAGAUUCCCAAGUUGUUUCACUGUCCGCAGCCCUUUCCACUUAAUUAACCAUUCAUUUCCUCCCAAUUCCCGAUUCCAACGGACUCCCAACACUGUUUCCGGCCAUAAUUGUAACUCAAACUCUUCCGUUAGCCUAGGUUGCUGGUGUUGAACAGCUUGUUGACUACCCAGUUUCAGUUUUAACUGAGAAAUAUGGAACACAUUGUGGAUACUGGCUUCCGGCGGUAACAUCAAUCUGUACGCAACUGCUCCUAUUUCUUCAGUAAUUUUGUAGGGUCCGUAAUAUUUAGGUGCUAACUUUUCACACUUCUUCCGAGCCAAGGAGCGUUGCCGGUAAGGUCUCAAUUUCAAGUAGACUUCAUCUCCUACCUUAAAUUUUAACUCUCUUCUAUUUCGAUCAGCCAUUUUCUUCAUCCUGUUCUAGGCUACACACAGGUGUUCUUUUAAGGCAUUGAUGGCUAAGUCACGUUCCUUCAGCAGCGUGUCAACCUCAUUAUUAGGAGUUUUCUUGUAACCAUAGGAUAACAGGGGAGGAGGCGGUCUGCGGUAUACCGUCUGGAAAGGGGUCAUUUUGGUGGAUGCAUGGAAGGUGGUAUUAUACCACAAUUCUGCCCAUGGAAUCAGUCUAUCCCAUUUUUUUGGUUGUUCAUUACAGAAGCAUCGCAGAUAAGUUUCGAGACAUCUAUUUACCCUUUCUGUCUGCCCAUCAGUUUGUGGGUGAAACGCGGUACUCCUCUUUAGAAUAGUUCCCAUGGUUGCAAACAGUUCCUUCCAAAAAUUACUAAAGAAAGAUUUUAUCCCGAUCUGUGAUAAUCGACUUAGGAAUGCCGUGCUUGCUUACUAUUCUGUCGAUGAAUAUGGAAGCAACUUGCUUGGCUGAAAACGGAUGUCUCAAUGAUAUAAAGUAAGAAUACUUACUCAGCCGAUCAACUACCACCAUGAUCACAUUAACCCCUCAAUAAAGUCCAUGGUCCAAUCUUCUAAGAUUCUGUCAGGAAUUGGAAUUGGUUGAAGUACCCCAGCUGGUUUGGUUGCUUCGUAUUUGUUUCUCUGGCAGAUCUCGCAUUGUUCCACAUAUUUCUUUAUUUCAGCCUUCAUACCCCUCCAAUAUAGUUCUCCACUGAUCCUCUUGUAAGUUCUUAAAAAUCCAGAAUGUCCCCGAGGAUAGAAUCGUGGAAAGUAUGUAGGAUCUUGGGUAUAAGUGUAGAAGUUUGAGAUACUACCAUUCUCCCCUUAUAGAGCAAUCUUCCUUUUUCCACUUGAAACUUGCUUCCUUCUUCUGCAUUUUUCUUCAGAUUUUCCAUAAUUUUCUUAAGUUCAGCAUCAUUCUCAACUUCCUGCUCGAUUAGUUUCACAUCAAUGAUUCCAGUAGUUGUCAAGCUGUGCAGCUCCACCGGUUGCUCCAUUCUAGAUAGGGCGUCCGCUGCCUUGUUCUGAUGUCCGGGUUGAUAUAAAAUCUCGAAAUCAUAUCCAAGGAGCUUUGUCAACCAUUUCUGGAAUUGGGGCUGUACCUCUCUCUGUUCAAGCAAGAAUUUAAGAGCCUUUUGAUCUGAAAGUAUGGUGAACUUCCUGCCCAGCAAAUAAUGCCUCCAUUUUUGAACUGAUAGAACUACAGCCAUCAACUCUCUUUCAUAGAUGGAUUUGUUUUGAGCCCUUGUGGAUAACUUCUGACUGAAAAAGGCAAUCGGGUGGCCAUUUUGAGAGAUCACCGCUCCUAACCCUACGCCAGAUGCAUCAGUUUCGAUAAUAAAGGGAAUGUUCCAAUCUGGUAAUGCCAACACUGGUAGAGUAGUCAUUGCUAGCUUCAAAUUUUCGAAGGCAGUAUUUGCUUCUUCAUUCCACUUAAAAGCAUUCUUCUGUAAUAACUUGGUUAGCGGUGCAGCGAUCUCUCCAUAACCCUUGACAAACCUCCUAUAAUAUCCUGUCAGUCCUAAGAAGCCCCGCAGACCAGAUAUAUUCGUUGGUGGUGGCCAAUUAAUCAUCUUCUUGAUCUUAUCCUCAUCUGCCUCAACUCCUCUUUUGGAUAUCAUAUGUCCCAAGUACUGUAUUUGAGAAUGGGCUAUAACGCUUUUUUUUUUUUGUUAGCAAACAGCUGGUUAUCCUUCAAAACAUUGAAUCUUGCAAUAAAACUCUCAAAAUUAAAUAUAGUAACAAACAUUAGCUAUUCUUUGGUUAACUCUUAUCCGAUGAAAUUUAGUUUAUUAUCCCAUUGUAAAUACUAGCUCUGAGAAUCUGUACAUACUCUACUCUUAAGUUAAAUCUAUUACAUUGAAAAAUGUGAGACCGACCAAAGAAGAAGUUUCCUCCUCCCUAGCUUACUGCACUGUUGUCCAUGGUAAGAAAGGUACUUCAAAAAGAAAAUGUCUAAGGUAUGCAAAUUUCAUCAAUGAAAAGUUCACAAUGUUUAAAGUAGAGCAAAAUAACCAUUUGUAGUCCUUAAAGUUGGGUCGUUCCUAGUCCUUACAACAAAAACGCUACGACAAUACAUGUAUGACAAUUUUUAGUCCUUAAAGUUGAACAGUUUGACAUAUCCUUGAGGGACCAAAGAAACGUAGUUAGAAAAACUUAAUAAGAAUGAGAAUAAAUACAAGUAAGGAGGGUGGUAUUGUCCCAAAUUUCCACAACUCUUCUCAAACCUUCAAAAUUCUAUGGAAACUCAUCAAUAAACAAUAGAGCUUUAGGUAAACUUUUGAAAUUGGAAACUUACCAUGGCUCUAUUCGGUGCAAGUCCACAUACUUUACUCUUUUUUACCUUUGAGUUAAACAAACAAUAGAGCUUUAGGUAGACUUUUGAAAUUGGAAACUCAUCAACCUAGCCAUAUAAAGAUCAAAUUUGCUUUAACAAAACGUACGUUGAAGUCCUUCCAACCCGAUUAAAAAAAAAACAGAUAAGUCUAACACUUUAACAAAUUUCUAGUGCAUAUUAUGCAUCUCAAUUGAUCACAACAAAAUAAGAUUGAACAUAAAUACCCGUAAGUAAUACCUUUUCAAUAUUGCAUUUUCAUAAAACUUACAAGGGUGUAAACAAAAGGACAUGGUGUCUUCAUGAGAAUAAACUAGAGUAACAGUGCCUCAUGUAAAAUUAUAUCAAAACCUCACAUACCAGACAAAUAUAUCCUUGAUAGAAAUAGAAAUUAGAAACUAAAAAAUGUUGUUUAAAUCCAAGUUAUAAAUGAAAACUAAUGAAAUCCACAACUAAUAACAAUAUAAAAAGGCUUAACUAGAUACAAAUAAGUUCUGUCUGUAGUCUAACUCUAAAACAACAAAUACUCAUCAUUACCUCUAAAUAUCCCUGCAGCUGGUACAACAUUCAAAAAUGUUUCAAUAGCUCCCAACACAUAACUGAACCACCAAAUUGAGGAGAAGGCAGAAGUUAAGAUACACAGAAGUAGUGCACAUUUUGACUUAAAAAAAUAAAACACAACAAAAACGCUGCUGGACAAUGAAAGAAUGAUAAGACAAAAACUUGUCGUUAGAAUUUAUAUGUUCGCCUUUGUAAAAACUUGUUAAUUCAACCAUUUCUUCUUGAAGGUGAAGACAAUACUAAAGAAAUGAUGAUGAACCUAACCUAAAUUAAAUGCCCCAAACUAAAAACGAUAUGGUUAUAAUGGGGCUAAUUCUGAAUCUUUUCAAAUCCCUUCCCUUCACUCUCUUUACUAAUACAAUGUGGGAUAAACAAACCAUUGUGUGUUUUUUUUUUUUUUUUUUGGUGACUCUCAUAAAAUCCAUAGAUAUUCACAACAAACCAAUUUCAACAAACCCUAAAGAGAACUAUGUACAUAAAAGACAUGUCUCUAGAAACAAAAGCUAACGAGAAACUACUGUUCAACUUACUUUUCAUGGUUUAUAAACUUUAAGAAAGAUUAAAAAAAUAUAACAAGAUAUAUAUACACACCUUAUAUAGGACAUUAUGUAAUGGGAUAAUGAAGAAUAAGUUCAAUAAACUUUAAUGUACCCAAUCUACCAUAAACUUGAGUUCACUCAAAACCUUUAAGAAAAUGGACAAAUAGAAAUAUAAUCAAGCAAACAUAAUCAUUUUGUUAGGUACAUGCAAGAUAAACUAUUUCACACCAACAUAUAUAAUCAGUAUACAAAUGAAAUCUUUGAGUUUCACAAGCUAAACUCAAUUUAAACUUUGAACUAACAAGUCCAAACAAUUUUCAUUGUAAUUCAAUAGUUAAAAACGUACCUUGGAGCCCUUCCAACCCUAUCAAAAAAACAUAUAAGUCUAGCACUUUAACAAAUUUCUAGUGCAUAUUAUGCAUCUCAAUUGAUCACAACAAAAUAAGAUUGAACAUAAAUACUCAUAAGUAAUACCUUUUCAAUGUUGCAUUUUCAUAAAAAUUCAACAAGCAUUGUCACUCUCUCGAGGAUUCUUCAAGCCCUAAGUAUGAAAAAAUGUUCAAUGAUUAAAUCGUACUCCAUUUACAUGACAAUUUGACAAAGUUGAGUUAACCCCCCCCCCCCCCCCAAUUUCCAACACUAUUGUUGGAAAGGAACAACAAGAUCUUUCAAAGUAAGGAAAGAACUACUAUGAAGAUUUUAGAUGAUAUUAAUUCAAGCAAACGUUUAUAUACUACUAAUAUACCAUACUAAUUCGACUAAAACACUUUCAACGAGACUAGAAUUAUACAAAAUAUACUUUAAACCACAAUAGUUGAAUAUGUAUUUUUGGUAGGGAGGUAGACACUACUUACUUGAACAAAUAACGACAACGUCCUUGAAGUAAGAGGACUUUCUGCUAAUCCUCAAUUCAAUCAAUUAUUCAAAAUGUCAUAAGGUAGUCAUAGGAAGAAAAUAUAGUUUAAAAACGUUGAUAAAAAGUGGAGGUAAAAAAAGUGUAUAGGCUUAAGUUUCAAAAACUUAAAGCCAAAAACCAAAUAGAUAACAUACAGAAAUUCUCUUGGAAUGUGUAUAGGCUUAAGUUUCAAACUUAAAGCCAAAAACCAAAUAGAUAACAUACAGAAAUUCUCUUGGAAUGUGUAUAGGCUUAAGUUUCAACAUACACAUUCAUACCUUUCCAAUGUGUAUAACAUACAUCGCGGUUUAUGUUUCAAGCAGAGGGUGUAUUUCGACAUUUUCAAAUUUACUCCUCUUGGAAAGAUCUAGCAUGGUAAGUGGCAAAUAAAAUUCUACCAUACAAAAUAAAUCUUAAUUCACCAUCAUUUUUUUGUCUUUCCUUUCAAUAUAGAACAUGUAGUAAUUUUUGUUGCUACUAUCCUUAUUGUAAGAAAGGGAGAGAGAACAUACCUAUAAUUAUCAAUAAUCACUUCCCUCUAUCCUUCAAUCAAAGCAACUCAAUAGCAACCAUAAACAAAAUAUCAAUAGAAAAAUCAAAAGUACUAAAAUUCACUUGGAAUGCAUAGACAAACAAAAAGACCCUACACACCAUCAAAGUUUAAAAUCUCACAUUUCAUUUUUCAUUCUCUUUUUCUCAAAGCUUCAGCCCAUAGCCAUGACAUCUCCUUGGCCUUGAUUUCCUAAUUCGAACGAAAAAAAUCAAUCAAAAAUCAACCAAAUGCUUCAUUGAGGCAUUUCAUCAAACACAUUGUAAGCUACCAAAAUGUUUCAUCACAUAGCCAACCAUAAAGAAAAAAUGUAGAUUCAAAUUAGAAAAAUGAUUGUAAACAACAAUAUUGAAUAGGAUGGUAGACAAAACAAACACAUAUCUCAUAUAAAAGCAAAACUAUGAGGGAUGUUUUUCAUAAAAAGAACCAUCAAUAUAUCACAUUGUGGGUAAAAUGAAAGCAUUUGAAGUUAAUAUACUGUAUAAAUACAAACAAUAGAAAUAAUGGUUGAGAUUCACCAGUGAGUUCAGCGGUGCAAGGGGUGUUGGGUGGUUGCGUCGGCUGAAGGAGAGAAAGAGAGGGAUUUCGCGCAUUGUUGACAAAAGUCUAGUCUUUCCCGGCAUGCGUGAGAGAGGGAGAGAGAUGGUUAGCGGAAGGGGGAAAAUCGAAGAGGGGGACGUGUGGAUCUUCCACAGAGAAGAAAAGAAGAAGAGAAGAAGAAGAGAAGAAGAAGAAGAAGAGGAGGAGGUAGAGAAAGAGUUUUGGAGAUGUUUUAUUUUAAUAAAUAAAUUAUUUAAUGUUUUUAGAAUUAGGAAAAAAUCUGAUUUUAAUAAAUUUUUAUUUAAAAUAAAUUUUAUUUUAAUAAAUUAAAUAAAUAUUUUUUGUAUUUUAUGACAUCAAAUAACUGUUGCGGAAAGUAAAAUCCGAAAAAUUCCGUCUUUUUCCGCCAAAAACGCGGUUUUUUAGCUUUUGUGACAGUUUUUUCUUUUCUCCUUUCAAUUUGGGAUGUAUACAACUGUCAUAGUAGACCACUUUUCUACUAGUGCCACCACCCAAAAUUAGAAUAGAUCAUAAUUCUAGCCCAAAUUUCAGGUCAAUCAAUUUCAAAUUUAUAAAUUUUAAAAUCCAAAACAUAUCAUCAAGCAAAAUUAUUUUAUUAUUAUUAUUAUUAUACAUAUGAAAUAUCAAUAAAUAAAUCAUUCUUCGGGAAACAGUUAAAAAUAGAAAAGCAUUUACACUUGAAAAUGACAAAAUACUCUCCAUUCUCUAUUUGUCAUCUUUUAUUUAUAACAGCCUUAACAUUAAUAUCUAAUUUUAAUAAAUACCUAUUAUUCUCUAUGCUCUAUGAUUUCAUUGUAUUAUUUGUCUUGUCUUGGACAAGUUUGCACGGUGCUUUCUCUAUUAUUUUCUGAGUUCCCAAUCCUUCUUCUUGGGACGUGGCUCCGACCACAUAGAAGUGCUCUAGGAGCUAGUUGUGGAUUGAAUCAUGGGGUUUUUUUUUUCUCUUUGUAACCAUUAAAAUUUAGUAGAUUCAAACCUUCAAUCUCUAAAAUAUAAUAUUGAAAGAGCCUAAGCUUGCCAUUUUGAAAAAUGGACAUUUAGCAAAUCUAAAAAUAAACUUAAAAAUAAUAAACAAACCUUGGUUAGAAUUCUCGUCUAAGUGAAACGUUGAGGUAUAUUGUUUCCCCAUUUUAACAAAUACUUACUUAAUUAUUGAACCUUAAAAUUUGGACUUAGAAAAUGGAUGGUUAUAACUAAGCAUCUUUAGUUUACGGAUUUGACGAAAAAAGUGGAAUUGGGAUUGGAUACGAAAAUUAUAUAUAUGUAUAUAUUGAGUUAAUUAGUAGUCUUAUCUGUUAGAUUGCAUAUUAUGGCAAAUCAAGAGGUAGCAAACGUGGAAGUUGAGAUGAGAACUUCGGGAUUACGUAUUGUGGAAGUGAAGGAAGCAAAUAUAGAUUGUAUAUUCUGUCUUAUUUGUUAGAUUGCAUUUUAUAUAGACUGCAUGUUAGAUUGCAUUUUAUAUAGACUGCAUGUUAGAUUGCAUUUUAUAUAGACUGCAUAUUGCAUAUAUUAGGACAAUUCUGUCUAAUAGAGGCUGUUGGCACGUAAGAAAUUUUUACACCUAGAAUAAUUUAAAUGCAUGCAGAUUAGGUUUCGUGCUUGUGAUGCCAUUUUGGUAUUGGAUUGUUCACUUCUUUACAAGUUGGACGACUCUCCUACCACUCCCUUUAAUUUAUUCCCUUUAUCCUACCACUCCCUUUAUUCCCUUUAUCUCACUACAUGGAAUGCAACGUUUUUCUUCUCUACACUUCGUGACAUAAUGGUUAAUCUUUUCAUUUAUUUUUGUGUUAAAUUCUUUCUAGUUUUAUUUUAAUUUAGUUUUGCAAUAUGUGUGUUGGAGGGAGGAUGAUCAAAACUACAACACUAUACGCAUGUAUAUGCCCAUUUAAAUUUAUAUAUUUACUUGAUUUAAUUGUUUUUAAACUUACCAUACAAUACAGAAUUGAUACCAUAGCAAAUGGGACCUCACUUUCUUCUUAUUUCCAAGUAAAUAAAUAAAAAUAAUGAUCAAAUGUUAAAAUAAUACAAAUAUCGUCCCUCACUUUGUACAAUAGAUCCUAUUGUUGGGUCAGUUGCCAAAAUGUUGAUAAUUGGUUUCAUUUGAACAUAAGAAACCAAGAAAGGCAACAACAAAAAAAAUAUGUGUGUGGUUUCUUAAAUAAGACCAGACCCUUUUCUCUCUAUAAAAAAACUUACACCGAUCAUCAGUAUAACUCAUGUCUGUCUAGGCUAGCAACGCUCUAUCUAGGAAUCACACAACUACUCCAAGCACGGCUUCAUAUCAUUUAAAAUGACGAGCACAACGACGAAAAUGUGGUGUUCUGCAACUGAGGACAUGGUGUAGGAAAGACUGAAGUGCUAAAACCCGAGACAAAAGCACAAUGCCAUUUUGCGGAGGGAGUGAGACCGAGAAUGGUCACAUUUUUCAUACAUACACCGUCAUAUGAUGUGCCUGCAAUCCCGUAAAGAACCGGAGCCUUUGUCGAAUUUAAGCUCAUGAGAUUGGUAAUGAAAAUGCCCUUCACUUUAGGAACUGCCUUUGGAUCAAAUUGUUCAUCAGGAUGGUCAUUUGAGCCCCUGCUAAACCUUAUAGCCAUUUUCACUCUGUUCAUUACAAAGUUAGUUAUACUAACAUUUGCAAUGUAUCCUCCUCUACCUUGGUCGGAUUUGAUUCGAAUGCCUGCUGCCGAAUCCCAGACGUUUAAAUCCUCAAUUGUAAUGUUUGAUAUUCCACCUGACAUCUCACUUCCUAUUCCAACACCAGAACAGGUAGGGGUGGUGCCAGAAACUCGCCUUAUGACGAUAUUUGAGCUUGGGCGUGCAAGGUUGAUUCCAUAUUGAUCCCAACCACUCUUCACUGCUACUAGAUCAUCUCCGCUUUCGAUAUAACAGUCCUCGAUACAAACAUUGGUACUAGAAUCUACACCAUAAUAAAGAUGCAUUUGGAAUUUAGAUAACUCCAGCAUUGUUUUACAUUUAUUUCUCAUACCUCCUAGCUCCAAGAAAGAAGCAAAAUACCUGGAUCGAUACCAUCUGUGUUCGGGGCAUUGAGCGGAGCCAAGAUCGUCAUGUCUUUGAUAACAACAUUGCUGAAAUCAAACAAAAGUUCAAGAACCAGUAUAUAAUUGCAAAGAGUAGAUAAUUAUUGAAAAUGAAACCUGCAAUAGACAGGAUGAAUUGUCCAAAAGGGGGAAUUUUUGAAGGUGAGAUUGGAAAUGAGAAUAUUGUGAGAGUUGAUGAGCUCUACAAGAUGGCCCCUUGUGUGAUUUAAUGUUCUAUUCCACCAAAGCUCCCACCACAUCUUGCCUUGCCCAUCAAUGGUUCCAUUCUCUCCUGAAAAAACAACAUAAAAACUCAAUAGAUUUUCAUGAUUAAGAACAUUCUCGAACCCGAGUGCCGUCAAAGCUAAAUGAGAAGAAGAGUUCACACUAGUUCCAGUUUCGAUGCACAAAGCUAAUGUAGAUCAAAAGAUAUGAUCCCAUUUGAUACUUUUUUUAAGGUAGGUAGAACUUCUUAUUCCUAGUUUUUAUCACUGGACUCUACUCAUAUUCUUUUUAGUUCAACAAUAUGUAACGGUGAGUUUCAAACAUAUGACAUUUUGGUCAAAUUUAUAUAUGUUUUAACUAAAUGAGCUAUACUGAUCACAUUGGUGACCUAGUGGUAUUUGGCUAGGGUAAAAAACAAGAAAAUCAAAGAAAGAAAAUGGGUAAGUCAAGUUAGUCUUAGAAGGUAGAUCUUAAGCUUAAAAUUGAAAUACCUAACUUUUCUCAUCUCAAGUGACCCCUUAACAUAAAAUACUAUAAUGAUCUUCUCCACAACCAAAAUGUACUAAAAGGUCAAGUGCCCUUACAAAAAAAACUCCUUAUUGCCAAUUUCACUUUUAAAAACAGUUGAAAUGGUAUACCAAGAUUCAGUUCUUUAUCAUUCCCACCCCAAACAUAAAAACACACCAUAGAAAAUAAAGCAUGAUAUCUUGAGAGAGAGAAAUAAUAUUCUUAGAUCCUAAAUCCCUUUUUUUAAUUUUUAACAUUAUCAUGGUUCCCUAGCUAAUUGCUUAGUCAUGAUCAAAGUUUGAUUCCAUUACUUUACAAAACCCAAGAUAAGAAUCCUCAUGAAUAUAAAAUCCUAGCAAUGAAGAUGAAGCCAAAAACAAAAACAAAAAAAAAACAAAAAAAGAUAAAGAAAAGUGAAAGCACCUGUAAUUACAACAUUUGAAAGGGCAUUGCCAUGAAUAAGGCUGAUGUGUCUUCCUCCCAAUCUCUCUCUUCCUCUUCCAUAAGAAGGAAGUGGCUCUAUAAUGGGCCACUCAUCUGGAUCCUUUUUUUUUUUUUUUAAUUUCAAACAAAUAUUUAAUCAAGUGCACACUAAACUUUUGACAAUAACAUGCCACCAUGAUUUCUAAAAGCAAAGAUUUAUCAAUUCAUAAUUAACAAAUUUGAUUUGAUAAUUUAUUUUACUGAUCAAACCAAAGCUUAUUCAGUUUCAAAUAAUACCCAACAAAAAAAAAAAAGUCAACCAGUUAUCAUAAAAGCUCUGUUUCAUUUACACACCUUGGGGGAAGGAAUCACACUUUAAUUUUAUUUUAUUUUUUCUAAGGAAUUUUGUUAAUGGGAAAUCCCAAACACUAAUAUAAAUUAGCUUCAAAAGCACUAAUGAAUGCAUUAAAUGAUAAUUCAUAGUGCCAAUAAAUCAUUAGCAUAUACAACCUUUUUUUCUCAUAAUUUCACUGCUUUAUUAUUAUUUAUUAUCAUUACUUUUUUGGUUACAUACAACUUUACUUGUUUUAUUGCUUUUUUUUUUCUUUAAAAAAUAAUAUUAUUAUCAAUUCACAUUUUCACUAUAAAUAAGUUCAGAUAUUACAUUUUUCUUGCAUGCAAAAAUAUUUAUUAUCUUAUUAUUAUUUAAUCAAUUUGGAUGGAAAUAUUGGAUAUAUAUAUAUAUAAAUAUGGUGGAUCCCACUUGCUAUGUUUUUAGGUUUAAAAAUGCAAUAAGAACUUAGGUGACACCGCCAGAGUCAUCACUCUGAUUUUACCUUUUCUGCUAAGUUAUGAAAUCCCAUUUGUCAUUUUCUUCUUCACCAAAAUCACAAAGAAUUUGUCCUUUCCAAACUCAUUAAAACAAUAAAAAUAAAAUUCCCCAACAGUUUAAAAGAAACACCACACAAAGUCUUAAACACAUAAAUAUUUAAAACAAAAAAACAAAUUACAAAAGACAAGCUUAAAAUUACCAUUUAAUUUUCUAAUAACUAUUUAGUUUAACCGUAAGUAAUUUUAGGGGUUUAGGGUAAAAAAGAAAAAAACUGACCUGGGAGGCUAAAAUAAGAGCGCCACGUUGGAGAAAGAGGGUAAAAUUACUGGUGAGAUUAAAGCUGCCCGUGACCCAACUGCCCUUAGGGACGGUCAGUUUAGACCCGCCUUUGUCGCCGAACCGCCGCAUGUACUGAAUGGCCUUCCGAAACGCUUCCGUGUUGGAAGUCUUUCCGUCCCCUACUCCUCCGAAAUCCGUGAUCGACAUGACAACCCCCGCCGUAGCAUCUGGGCGGAAGAAGGCGGAGCAGGUGGGGAGUUGGAAAUCAGAGGGUGGGAGCCAGAAGGGGAAAGGGGGAGUUCUGGUGGCGAUUUGGAAGGUGAGGAUAGCGAGGAAGAUGAAGAGAAGGAGAAGGGAAGAACAGGAGGGAUUGAUCGGAGGGCCGAAAUAGAAUUUUGAUUUAUCACUGUCCAUUAAUGGAAAACCAAAUUACAAUAGAGAGAAGAAGAAGAAGAAGAAGAAAGAAGGGGUAGAGGUCUAGAAGGCAGGCUAGAACUGGAAGGGUGGACAAUGGACAUUGCGCUUCCGCAUGCUAAAUCUUUUCCCUUUUUUUUUUCUUUUUUGCUUUCUCUUCUACUUCUUUCUUUUUAAUAGUUUUUUUUUAAAUAUAAAAUUUUCAAAUUUAGUUAAUUACAAUUUGAUUUGAUUAUAAUAUUUAUGGAAGGUAUUUUCACAUUUUUAAAAAUAGAUUAGAUGAUGCUUUAAAUAGUUUGAAGUUUCAGCCCUACUAAUUUCCUAGUUUUGUUUUCAAAUUCCAUAAUUACCCUUACUUCAAUGCACUUAUUUUGUUUUUGCAAGAAGCAUGACACCUUUUGUUUAUUUUUUUUAUUCUAUACAAAAUUUCUAACAACAUUUAUAUAUAACCAAAUAUUACAAUAUAUUUAAUAUAUUAAACUACUAUUUAUCUUUAUUAUAAUAUAAAUAAACACAUAAUUUAUUUUAGGCUAUCAUGGUUGUGUACUAAGAACCAACGUUCAUUGGGUUUAAGUUCCUCACGUUCCAAUUUGUAUUAAAAAAAUUAAUGAAAAUUUUUUAUUACAUCAUUUUUUUAAAAUAUAUUUUUCUUAAUAUUUUUGAAAACUAUUUCAUUUAUUAUUUGAAAGUAAGCUAAAUUUGAAAUGUAUGCAUAUUAAAUAUGAGUGGAAUUUUAGACAGGGAGAGAGAGGACAUCAUUUAAAAAGUACUAAUUAAUUUCUUUGAUAGCCUUGUUAUUAUUAUUUUCUAAAACAGUUUGAUAGCGUUAUUAUUAUUUUUAUAGUCGGAAUUCUGGUUGUAGUAAAAGAACAAAAUUGUCAUUAAAAUUAAAAAAAAAAAGAGGGAGGGGGGCAAGAUGGUAAUUAUGUAAAAAGAAGCCGUGGGCUUUUGUUUGCUUAUUUGAAAAAGUGGGAUUAUGAGACGUGGCAAGUUUAGAGUGGUGUUAAUAUGGAGUGAUAGCGUGAUAGAUGUUGUAGAAGAAACCUAAUGGUGUAAAAAUGGAAGCCGCUAUUCACGGGCAUCUUUCAACCUUUCUCAUCAUUUCUUUUUCAUUCUAUUUUCUUUAUUUUAUUAUGUUUUCUCUUAAAUUAAUAAAAAAAAUAAAAUUUAUUUAUUUUAAUUUGAGAAUGUAUGAUGAUAAAUAAUUUUAAUUGGAAAAGGAACGAAACCUUUUGAAUUUAUUAAAAACGCAAACAAAUACUAAAUAAGAGAAUAUCAUAGUUAUAUAUAUAAAAAAAAAAAAUGCAACAUCUCCAUUAUUAUGAAACAUUUUAAAUGAAGCUAAAAGUAAAAUUAUGCAACAUUAAUGUAAAUUAUCUCAACUUCAAAUGACAUUUGAACCAAUGUUUGAUUUUAGAAUUAAUAUUAUAUAUAUUUUUAAAUAGAAAAUUUAAUUUGAUUUAUAGUUCCAAGAGAUGCCUUCCUAAAAUGAUUGUUUAUUUACUUGUACCAAUUGAAGCCCUAGUUUUAAUUUAAAUUUACUAUCAAACAAAUAAUUAGGAUCAGAACACAUUUCAAGUAAAAAUAAAAAUGUACUUUUCCAUUAUUUUUCUUUCAAAUGUACAAAAGUCUACUUUUUUGGUGCCAUAUGUCUAUAACUAGUAAAGGUAAAUAAAAUAUAAAAAAAAAAGGAAAAAAAUAUUAAAAUUUGUUUGAAAAUUUUGUGUAAUUUCAUUUAUGAAUAUGUUUACAUACAAAAUUAGUUAUUUGCAAAAGAAAUUGAUUUCGUCUUCUAAAAUGUUAAAAGUUUUUUUUUUCAAUAACAAAAGAUAGUCCAUUAAUAAUUAACAUAGGACUAAAAGAAUGAACUAUGGUAAUAUUUUGAUAUUUUUUAUUCUCAUGUAUAAAAAUUUGAAAAGUGAGGAUAUAAAGAGUUAUGAAAAAUGGUAUUUUGAUAUAGUUUCUACCUAAUACCUUCUCUCAUUCUUUUAAAUUUGAAUCCAUCUAAUUGUACGUUGUUUUAAGCUUUUCAGUUGAAGUUACUAUUUUUUAUCAAACCUAGAUUAACCCUUUGAUUAUAUAUUUUCUAAUAGAAUUAGAUGAAUUAGAGAGAAAAAUGAAAAACAAAAAACCACAGCCAAUGUUUUAUUAGUUAUGUUUUGCAAUAUUCAUCAUGAACUUAUAUAACCUUGCAAUUUAGUACAAUUUAAUUGAAGCUUUUCUGUGGUUGUCUUACCAAUCAAUCCAUUGGCUGAGUUGACACCCGAGUUAAGGGCGACAUCGGUAGAUGACUCGGAAUUUUCAUUCCCAAUUCCCUUUUCAAAUUCUAUAACCUUCGUCACCACGAACAAUUUGCAAUAGAUACGAAACCAAGAUCAGGGUCUUCUUAAUUUUCCUUCUAUCUUUCUUUUUCCCCUUCAUUGGACGCGCCAUCAAUUCUACAUUGGAUUGCAGCAUUUGGGUAUUAAAUUUUGAUCUGUUUUUACGGGAUGUCAUGUUCGAUUUCAUUGUGAUUCAUUCAAUUCCAUUUCUGUCGCAUGUUUUCGUAUCUCUUUGGUAAUGGUGCAUGCUGUUUUGCAUUUGUUGAAUCAGCUGACAUUUGGGUUUUCUUUUUCUUUGAUUAGGUACGUGAAUCGGGUAGCGAUCUUGUUUUUAAAAAUUGUUGAUUGGGUUGGAGCCAUUGGAGGACGGAUUUGAUGGAUUCGACGUCAAACCAAACCGAGUUUGAUUACUUGUUCAAGUUGUUGAUGAUUGGGGACUCUGGGGUUGGAAAAAGUAGUCUGCUUUUAAGUUUCACUUCCGAUAACUUUGAAGAUCUCUCACCGACGAUCGGUUAGUUUUGCUAUACGGAUCAGAUUUGAAGUAUUAGUUUGGAAUUUCCUUUUUUGCUUUUGUGGGAUCUUGCGCAUUCUUUUUGAAAAUGAGCUUAGACAAAUCGGUUUUGUUGUUUGCUGCGGAAUAUUGGUUCAUCAUUUUAAAGAAACAUGUGGAAAGACAAUGAUAUACUUUUGCUGAAUAUUGGUUCAUCAUUUUCACUUUCACCUUCACCUUCUGCAUGGGAUUGAGAUGAGAUUGAGGGCAAAAAAUUAAAUGAAAGGGAAAGUUGAGAGGACCAAGAUUGAGAGAGGCAAUUAAUCUUAACCGUAUUUCAUCAAGAGAAGAAUGAAGCUCUUAGAUAAUCAGGUCAGGUGUCAUUUUUUUAGGACAGUGUAAGGAACUUAGCUAUAAUCGUAUCUGAGAAACUAAAAUGAGAAGUCAUGAAAGAGGUAAUUUGUGCAUUAAUUUCUAAUGGAAAAUACUAUAUUUCAAUGUAAAUAUGUAUUGUAUACUUUCAGGUAUACAAUGAAAAGUUCAUUUUCUUUGUAAUAUUAUAUAUAUAUACACACACUGUAUACUUUCUACCCGCUCUAUUAUCACUGGUCAUCUAUACUUUUGCAUUCUGUUCAGUACUUACUGACCCUGUGUAAAUCUAGGCAUAUGCUCAUCGUCCUACUGUGGGGCUAUUAGUAGAAUAGAUUUCCUUUUACCUGUGUAAGUUUGGUUGAAUUUCAAACCGCAUAGCUGAAAUUUUGGAUGUUCUCUUUCUUAUUAAAACAUUAUUAACAAAAUUGAGAAUUUAAAAUGAUUUUGAUUAUAAAUCCUACGUCUGCAUGUUUAAUUGUGCUGGUUUGCUUGUUUAAAAUGGAAAACGGCACAAGCCUUGCUAACUUCUUAAUUUGCCUUGCAAUGGCAUGUAACCAUCAAUAGACUAGAAAUGACUUUUAAUUAAUUGGUUGUUUUUGUGCGCAGGUGUGGAUUUUAAGGUAAAGUAUGUUACUGCUGGUGGUAAAAAGCUGAAGCUUGCAAUUUGGGAUACUGGUAAUUAAGCUUCUCCACACACAUAAAUAGGCUUCUUCUUCCUCCAUUUUUAUUUUUGAGAGGGCGUCUAUUCUAUUUUCCACACAUGCAAGAUGUAUGCUUUGGCAGAGAAGCACCAAACGGCUAAGUUAGAUAAUUAAUUUACAAAAAGAUAUUGCUUAGCUAAUUAUAUAAGCAGCUGGACGGUAUACUAAAUUAUAAAUACAUUGAGGCUUGGCCAUUUGCGUAGCUUGUCCUUUGUUCACCAGCUCAAAGUUGACUUUUCCUUCAUGGUCCGGCAAUCUAUGCAGUAAUCCUCGAUUCGGCACAGUUUUCUCCUGUUUUGAAUGUAGAAGCUAGAAAAUUUUGUUACCAAAUCUUUGAGGCAUUAAAUAAAUGGAUGAGAAGACAAUAAAUUUAACCAAUUGACAAAUAGAUCUGGAAGGUGAAAACGGAUGCUAACUGUUGACCAUAAGUGUGCCUGGAUGAUGGUUCUGCUGUGCAGAAAAAUGCAACAUGAAUGAACUUUUCACGUUCAUGUAUAGAACUUUGUUGAACCUGCAGCCGGCUAGAGCUUUUUCAUCAAGAUUAGAAACUUGUUCAUAUUUGUGUUUGAAUUAAAUUUGGAUCUUGACCUAACAGACUAAGAAAUUGCUCAAAGGAUUGUACAUGCUUAUUCUAAUUCUUAACUGUUAUCCAGUGGUCCUAGUGCUGUGAAUUAUAAAGAUAAUAUAGUUGUUCUUGUUGAUUAGCCAUGAUGUAUUUGAUGGUACUAGGGUAUUACUUCCUAUAUUUUCUUGUAAUGAAUCUGUAUGAAAGAAAUCUGGUUUACCACAUCUCCAAACUAUGCAUCUUGUAGAAUCUAACUCAAUGUUCAAUCGUACAGCUGGGCAGGAGAGAUUCAGAACACUGACUAGUUCAUACUACAGAGGUGCUCAAGGGAUCAUUAUGGGUGCGUUCUACUCCCUUCUUUAUUUGAUUGUUUUAAAGAGAAGAAAUUCUUUGCUUGGCAUAAAUGUUAAAUUUCUCAGCUGUGUUUAGUUUAAACGCAUUCAUGAUUUUAUCAAAUGAUAAGUUGUUCAUUUGUUUGGCCGUCCAAUAUUAUUCUAUUGCCUUUUGUAUUAUGUUAUCUUGAUUAUGACAUCAAAUAUUAACUGUCAGUUUAUGAUGUAACGAGGAGAGACACGUUUACAAACCUUUCUGAGGUAUGGGCAAAGGAAAUAGAUCUAUAUUCAACCAAUCAAGAUUGCAUCAAGAUGCUUGUUGGAAACAAAGUUGAUAAGGUAAGCGUCUUCAACUUCCAUUUGAAAUUUUCCAUUCACCUGAAUUUGGUUACUCUAACAUUUGUAUAGAUGUCGAUUAAUUGUUCAAGUGUAUGGUGAACUGAAAUUCAUAUUCCAAAGAGUUUUCAGGUUAAUUACCAAUAACAUAUUGAUAAUUUAAGAACCGAUUAAAUGAGUUAUGAAUAUCAAAGCUUUUUCCGUAUGAGUUUGUUAGGUAUUCAAGCUGUUAUUUACUACUAUUAUUAGAAAGCUUAGAAGAUGGCCUAAUGGUAAAAACGGAGACAUAGUCUGAAUAACUAACUAAGAGGUCAUGGGUUCAAUACAUGGUGGAAUUAAUUUCCUACAUGUUAUCUUGACACCCAGAUGUUGUAGGGUCAGGCGGGUUGUUCCGUGAGAAUAGUCGAGGUGCUCGUAAGCUUUCCCGGACACUCACGGUUAUAAGAAAAAGAAUUAGAAAGCUUAGAAGAGUGUUGAAACACUGUACAAAUGAAAUCUAACUUCUAGGUCUGGCUCAUCUCCACGCACAAAGCCUAUCCUAAAUUAUGACUCAAGAAACCAAACUUCCAAUAGGAAGAACAUAAAAACAAAAAGGCAUGUGCGAAAUACACUAAAUGUGAAGUUCAGGUUUUUGAGAUUCUUUUAAAUUUCUUAUGAUAAUGUUUUUCAUUGUCUGCAUCUAACUUACUUUUUAUCUGGAAUUUUAUUCUUCAGGAAAGUUAUAGGACAGUAACCAAGAAAGAGGGAAUUGACAUGGCUAGGGAAUAUGGUUGUCUUUUUACAGAAUGCAGUGCCAAAACUCGGGUUAAUGUACAGCAGUGCUUUGAAGAACUUGUUUUAAAGGUAGCAAUUUCAGUUUAGUAUUACUGUUGGUUCAUUUAUUGGUCAAGGGAUUGAUAUUGAUUGGUGAGUAGCAGGAACAUGGUGUUUCCCUGUUGUAAUUGUAACAGUCACAUUUCUGAUAUUUUUUAAAAGAUAAAAGCAAUCACAUUCCUGGUAUAUUCAUAAAUAGGUUAAGGCAGUGAAAAAUUUUGAACCCUCUUGAAUAGUCAUAUUUUAACGGCUAAAAUUUUCCUCUUCCUUUUUCCCAUUUUAAGAUUUAGAAAUAUCCUGCAAACUCACUGAAUGUUGCUUGGACGAUUAAAACAUGAUGAUAACGAUUCUUAUAUACAGAUUCUUGAUACGCCCAGCCUUUUGUCUGAAGGCUCUAAAGGAGUGAGAAGGAACAUCUUCAAGGAAAAACCUCCACAGUCUGAUGCAUCCACGAGCAGUUGUUGCUGAAAUUGAUUCAUUGUCUCUAACUACAUUUGCUGGUUGUUUCUACAUUGUUGUAAAACUACAGUAGAGGAGCAUGGUGUUAUAGCUUUUAUUUGUCUCACUCUCACAAAUUACCUUACAAAUUGAAAAGGGUGGUUUUGUCUUCUUGCUGGCUUUCUUGUACAGGGAAAAAUUGAAAUGGAAAUAUAUGAUACAUGAUUUCAGUCUUUCUUGCUUUAAUUUAGUUGCUGUCCUCUGGACUUUUGUUUUGUUUCUAUACACUGAGUCAUAGAUUCAGUACGAUUAAAAGAUGAUUCUUGUUAAUGUAAGAGCUGGGGGGAGGGGGGUUGGGAAGAAGUGUCCCACCUGCAAGUGUUUAAUUGAAGGGCAUAUUUGGAUGACUUUUAAGGGGUUAUAAAAGGGUUCAAGGAAAAUCCAAAUAGGUCCUCAUCCGACUCAAGUGGGGUUGAUUUGAAGUCGAGUUGGGCUUUGUGACGGAAAGGAAGAACAACCCCGUUUGGUUGUAUAUGCAUAAAUUUAGCGAUCUAAUAAAUAGGAUCUUCUUUUACCGGUUACUCGUUUCUUUCACCGGUUCAUGGAAGGUAACCGCUAGAUUUGUUUUUUAGAUGGAGAAAUAAAAACCACUUGUUAGGGGCUUCUUUUUAUUGAACUUAUAAAGUUGGAGAAUGGUGUGACUAAAGGUAUCAGCUCGGUAUGUGUUUGUUACAGUCGAGACGUUAAUAAACUUAAAUUCUUGAAACGUUGAAGAGGUUCUUUUGAUUUCCUUUUAUGGAAGGUAUAUCAAGAAUGUAAAUAUUCUGAUUGAUUUGUGGAAACCUUUGAGUUCAUUAUGUAUGGUAAACAAAGUGAAUGUUGAUGGUAGUAGUAAAUGAGAUCAAAGUUUAUGAUAUGCUUUUCAAGAGAAGAAUGAUGGUAGUAGUGACCAAGAAAGAUCAAAGUUUAUUUCUCUCGUUGAUGCCGUAUAAAAAACAUUGUAAAAGUAGUAUGCUCCAAAAUUGGAAAAUAUAAGAGUUCUAUAAAAUGUUCUUGGCCAAGAAAAUGUGAAUAAAAAAUUCAAUUAAAUCGAAACAGUCCUUAAAUCUAUCAAAAUGUGAAAAAUUCUCAAUCUCUCACAAGUAUUGAAAACUCAAGGUUUUAAUUGAUGUUGGUUAGGUUCCUAAUAGUAAAUACUCUAGGACUCCGAUGUACAUCUUUAUGAUUAUGUUGUGUUUAAGGAAGAGAUUGAAAGACACAUACAAAAUGUAUCACCAACAAGGAUCAUCUAAUCCAAUAUGAGCCCUUACUUCAACCUAGUGUUGUUAGUCAAGAAAAAAAGACAUGAUUUGACGUUUUUGUGUUAUUAUAGAGCUUUGAAGGAAGCCAUUGUUCCACGUAGAUUUUCAAUCCUUGUCAUUGAGAAUUGCUAGAUGUUACAUAAGUCUUUCAUGUAUUAUAUGUUAGACCACAAAUUUGACUAUUUACAUCCAUAGAGGUUACUAUAAAUUUCUUGUGAUGCGUUUGAGUUAAAAAAGAACACUUCAACCACUUUUUAAUCUACGAUGAAUCAAAGUAUUUAUACAUGUUAUGUUUUUGAUAAAACGUCUUAUAGUUUUGUUUGAAGAUAUAUUGAUGUAUAGCCUCAACUUGAGACCCACGUAAUAUCCUCGGCCACAAUUUUCUAUUAGCAAACAUGAAAGAAAUGCAAGUGUGAGGAAAGUUGUGUGUGGAUCUAACUAUUCAUAAAUGGUUUGUGAAAGCAUUGGACGUGGAAACCAUUAAAAAAAGGUCAAAGAAGAUGAAUAUCUGUGUAAGAUUUGAGUGGAGUGGCACGAUGAUUCUCAAUCCCAACUUUUUUUUACUUUUUUUUAUUUGUCUUUGACACUUUUCUCCCUAAUUCUUCCCAAUUUUGGAGCAAUCUAGCUUAAUCUAGCUUAAUCUUUUGAAGAUAUUUGAAUCAAGAAUGAUGUUGCGAAUUUCAAAAAAUGAUAAAAUUUAGAUAGUUGUAAACUCUAAGCUAUGAGUAUAUAAUGUGAGAAGUUGACAAGACAUAAAAUUGAUAUAUUUUAGUCACGGACUCAAUAACUCUUUAGACCAAACAAGGAGUGUAGCUCACAAGUCGAAUCUUUCUAAUUCUCUCCUCUUCAUACCUUAACUUUUUGGCCUAAACACCUCGGUAAGUGCUUGCAUAUGUAUCGCUUUAUUUCUAUGUCACAUAUUAGACUCUUUCGACCACUACCCAUUAGUCCAUAACUAAUUUGAAAUGAUAUCUUUUAAGGAUUUCAUUGACAUGGGCUCCAUAGACACAUCACACAAAUGGAAAGGCUAAUUCUAUGUCUAAGACAAGGUGGCUCUCACCACCCGGGUAUUGUUAAGCUCUACUAGAAAAUAAGAUGUGAUUUGAAUUUAAAUCAAAGUUGAAAGAGAUUGUUACCUUCCCAAAUUGGUAGAAAUUUUGGUUGUAUUUUGUUUGAAGGUGAUCAAAAUAUCAAAAAAGAACCUUAGAUGUUCAUUCCUCAAGUGCUCAUAAAUUACAUUGAUUCAUCUUACAUAUUACACUUAGAAACAGGUCAUAAUAGCAUUUAAAUCUAAAUAAACAUAGGGAAGUAAGAAGAAUAAAAGUUCGAAAAUGAGAAAAAAAGAAAUACACAAUUUGAUUCCAAAAUUAUAUCUAAAGUAUAAGCAAUUUAGUAUGGAAAAUAUGAAAAUAAGGCUGAAGUUUUGCCACCAAAACAAACCAACAGCCAUGGGUUCUACAACUGCAAGACUGCUGAUUCCUCAUCUUCUUCUUCCCUCUUCUUCUUCUUCUUCUCACAAUCCAUCAACAAACACUCGCACCAAAUCUUCAAAACCCCUUUCAUUUCCCAACCAUAAUUCAUUACCAACCAGGCGUUUGUUGCUUUUCUCCCUCCCCAUAGCCACUGCCUUUCUUCUCCCAAUUCCGGGCAAUCCAAUUCAACCCAGUUCUUCCUUUGCUGUGGAGAGCUUUGACCCUGUCAGCCGUUCCGAGAAAGAUGCCAGUGCCGCCAUUUCACGAAGAGUAUCUGAAGCUGUGGAGCUUCUCGAUAAAGGCAGGGAGUUGCAAGCUCUUGGUGAUUUCAAUCAAGCUCUUCUCUACUUCACUCAGGUUUGUACUAAUUUUGCAUCUUCGAAUUCGUAGAUUUAACGUCGAGUCCCCAAUAAUUUAAACAAUGAUAAGUUAUAGAAUUGUUGAGGAUUGAUGCUUAGCUGAAUUUUUCCAUUCUUUAGAGUCAACUAAGUUUUAGAUGUAAAGUUCUUGUGAUGGACAUCGUGUUAUCAGAUAGCAAUGGCUUUUUUCCAAAAACAAAUUAACAGGAAAAUUUUCAGAAAAAUUAAUAUGCUCUGGAGUGUUGUUAGUUUAUGUUAUUGUAUCUAUAAAUCUAAAAUGUAUGUUGGACAAAGCAUAUCAACAAAAAGAAACCUUUUAGGAAAUCCUGCAUGCAGGAUCUGGUGCAUAAAAGUAAGGCAUAUUAUCCACAAAUGAUUUACUUAUCUGACUUUAUGGAUAAUUCCCCAAUAUAUUUUGGCGACCCAUUGGGAUGUUAUUAGUCUUUUCCACCCACAUUUGGUGUGAUUAUGCGAUUUACCUAGUUGGAAUUUUCAAGUCUUAAGCAUACUGAUGGGUUUUCAGCUGAAUGGAUUAAACCAUUUCUUACAAAAUGUCAAAAUCGUGAAGAUUUGUGGAAAGGGUACUUGUCUUUUUUGUUUUCAGAUAAGUUGUAUGUAAGGAACUUUCUUGUAAGACAUAAGAUCCACGUAUUUUUUAAGGCAGUUCUAUGAAUGGAAUUUUGGAGGCCCAUUUGGGUGUGGUUUGUUAGAUCCAUAUGUUCUAAUCACGAGUGACUUAACUUAACAACACAGUUCUGUCACUAUCCAGAUAGAAGAAUGAGAAAACUAUUAUGUUUUUCGUUUUUAAUCGUGUUUGAGACUAGGAUCCGCGGUGGAUCAUUAUAUUACUGAUCUUCAGAAAUAUUCACUACUUCAAUUUGGAUUUGCUGUAGGCUUCAAAACAUGCAACAUGAAAUUACUUUCUGAUUUCUAAACACCUGUCUCGCAUAGACAAAAAUUCUAUAGCCUCUAAAUACUGAGUGUUCCUGAGGUUCAGGUAGGGGGCGACAAAACUUUGAUUAUAAACUUUUUUUAUUAUUUAUUUUGCUGAAGAAAACUCAAAACGAAAAGUGUUUAGCAUGUGACGAGAAGACUUCAGAUUCCUUUCCCUUUGAAGCUCAUAUUCAAUCUGCACUCCUCAUUUAAUUGAGAGAAAUUAUUUAACUAUUGAUUUAUUUGUCAAGUCAACGUAUUUUGAGUGUUAGUUCUUAUUAAAAAUUUGAUUUUAGUUCUUUUCUAAUUUCAGGUAAUUGAUAAAUAUAAAGAUUUUGCUUUCUCGGAUUAUGCCCGAGUAGGCAGAGCAUUGGCCCUGUACGAGAUUGGUGACCGAGAAGAAGCCAUUGCAGAGAUGGAGGAUGUUUCCAUAUCAUUGAAGGGAUAUCCAGGUACUUGAAUAAAUUUUGCACAAAUUUUGGGUUCUAGACGUACAGAUUGAAGAGGGUAUCACGUAGAUGCAGUGCAACAACAGUUUUAGCUAGAGAAAGAGACUUUAACAUACAGUAUACAAGUACUUGAGAAUAUAUAUAUAUAUAUUUAAAUGAUUCUUCAAACAAUUUUCCUGAGGUAAAAGUUUAGUUAAAUUAUAUGUUUAGUUCAUAAAUUUUGAGGUUUGUGUUCAUUUUAGUUCUUUAGCUUUCAAUAGUCGGUUAAAUUUUAAAAUAAUUUAUUCAAGUAAAGGUCAAAAUUGCAACUUGAAAGUGAGAGUUUAAGAUGAAAAUGGAUGCAUAUUGUUUAGAGUUAAAAGUAGAUGGAUGAUUAAGGCUAUGAUGGCAUAAUUGAAUCGUGCCAAGGAGCUUGGAUGCAACGCAAAUAACUAUAGAUAUGGGUCAUGGAUGUGUUACCAACAUAAUUAAUGCCAUUUAAAAAAGAGUCAAUAGUAUGCACAGGAUAAUUUUAUACAUUCAUGGGUUUGAGGUAUGCAAAAGUUUAUUUAUUUUUAUGUUAUAUAUCUAUUUAGGAUGCUCAACCAGUGUUUGAUACAUAUCUAACAAAUGUGGACUAGUAUUUAUUUGUACAAUUAGUGUCAAAUGCAUUUAUUGUAGUUACAAGAGUUCUAUGCUUGUAUUCUUUCUCUAUCAUUUUCUGGUGUGGUUGGAUUUUGUAAAACAUCAUUGAAUGUGGAUUGAAAUUUUGACUGCUCUCUCGAAGCUAUGUAUAGCAAGCCACCUAGAAUCUAAAAGAUCAUAAUGUUUAACAGUAGUACUCGACAGUUGGUGUCUUUUCUCUUACAUUAUGUGGCCAUAAUGAAUCAUGUGUAGUACAUAGUACUUACUGGCAUUUAUGUACCGGUAUAUUGUUUUGCAGAAGUGCAUGCGGCAUUGGCUGCAGCUUUAUACGUGGAUAAGCAUGCUGCAUUGCUGGCUGAAAAUCAAUUCACCAUUGCAACCUUGCUUGAUCCUCACUAUGUGGAUAUCUCGUAUGUGAAAGAAACAAAGCACUGGCCUCCUAGUUUGAUCAGUUCUUUGCAACAUUUCUUAACACUUUCUUAGACAUUUGUAAUAAAAUAUAUACAGUUUCUGUCAUAAAAAACUCAAUUCCUUGUUUUGUAAGUGCACAAAAUUUAAUACACUUUAAACAUCCAUGUAAUUAUUAGUAGAAAUAUAGUUUAUGUUUACUCUCUUAUCCCCUUUGACUUGUAACAUAAAUUCAUUUCUUCAUUUAAACUUACCUGAUGCUCAUCCUCAUUCAUGUUCUGAGUCUAUUCAAUGCACCUUCUUUAUUGACGGAGGAUACAAUGAUGGUUUUGCUAGUUUUAUACCAUUGGAUAUAAGUAAGUGAAAUUACAAAACAUUUUUUGUAUUGGAAUCUUGAAUCUAUAAUUGAGUCAACUUCAUUCAUAUUUGUGUUAUUGAACUAAUCCUAGAAAUUGGACAGAAACUUUGAACACUUGAGCUGGAUAAUGGAUGUAUCAGAAUUGUCCUUAAUUAACCAAGGUUGAUUGACCUCUACAAGACAAUGGAAGUCACCAUUUAGGAAGGCUUUUCUUUCACGCUGAAAAGUCUUUGCUGUGACUCUGCACUCAUUUUUGUACUUUUAGUGCUUUCAUAUUAACUUUUUAAAUGGUGAGACCACAAUACUUUGUCCUAGAGUAACUAUAGGUCUUUAGUGGGUCCUCAUAUUAAUAAAAAAAAAAAAAAAUUGCUCUUUUAAUGCCAUUCUGGUGUUCAUAAAAUGCUUUCACACAUGGAAAUUUUCCCACUUCUUCAAGAAAGAUCACAGAAAAUAUUUUGCCACAAGUAACUUCUGGUUUGUAUAACCACAUCUUUCAAAUCAGCCUUCUCUUUCUGAUUUUUCAAUUAUUUAUAGUUUUGAUGGUUUUUUUGGGCAAGGUAAAGUCCCAUCAGAAGUACCUGCCAGUAAUUGCAACUAUUUUAGAAAGAUGCUGGGGAUUCAGAAUUCUGAUGUGCUCUCAUUCAUUCAAGCUAAAUGCCAUUGCUGACAGGCAAGCAGUGAAGUGCUUCCAGCAAAUUGAGUGGGCCAUCAAGCAUGUGCUUUGCCCCUGCCUUUCUAAAUCAUAUGCAAAUCUCUGCAGUUACUCAUACUAUUAUUAAGUUGUAAAGUAUUGAACACUUGUCAUGAUUAUUAAUCAGUUGUAUCAUGACAUUUACAGGCUUUCAAUUCUGAUGCUCAUAUUGGACAUGGGAGGCUUAUUUACACAUCAUCAAUGGCUCUGAUUGAGCCUCAGGUUCACUUAAUCCAAUCUGCUUUAUUGAUUUUCUUUUAUCAAAUCAAAUCAUACCAAAAUUUGGAUUGUGAACAUUUGAUUAAUGAGAAAGCUAGGUAUAUUAUAAUUAAAGUUUUUCCAAUCUGAAUAUAAUGAUACUGAAAUGCAUUUGCAUGUGAUUAAAAAUCUCCAAUGAGUGAAUUUUUUCUAUACUUGAUUGUGUACACUACUAGAUAUUUCUUCCAUAGCCAAUCAAUUUUGCUGGCUACAAUGUAAAGAUUCACAUUUGAAAGGGAAAAAAAAAGGUCCCAAAAGGGUUGAGGGAUAGAAUAUUAUUAUCACACAUUACAUAUUCCUUUUGUCCUCAACCCACUUGGAUCUAAGAAGCUUGAGUAGGAUUCUUGCCUUUGUUUUGGUUUUUGCACAACACUGACUUUGCAGAAGCAGAAGUAAUUGACUCAAAACUCCACCUCUAAUGGCCUUUUCUCUUGCCUCUACUGAAUCAUAACAUAAAAUUAUAAGUGAACUAACAGCACUUUCACUGCCUCCGUGAUCUGAUACUCUAAAAACCAUCUUCACAAUAACAUUUACACCAUCUGGAAUAUUUACCACUUCCUCUUUUGCACUUCUAAAUACCAAAAGUUUCUCAAUUGCUGCCAUUGCUUCUCGUGCAGAGCUUCUUUCUCUUUGUUGAGCAUUAGAAAUGUAUGAAAUAAGUCCAGUAACUGCACCUUCCACAACCAAAUUGUUGAUGUUUUGUUCCAAGUUACUUAGUGAACAUAUGGCUUUGGUUGCUGCAUCAGAUGCCUCUGAGUUGUGGUGUAGAAGUUGCACGAUUUCUCGUAAAAGCUCGGUUGUGUUUCCGAGUAAAACACUAAGAUCUUUAGUCUCAACUGAAGAUGAAAUUGCCUGAACCAAAUGACACAAACUGAUCUUGAUCAUGGAAGUGCCAUUACUGAACAAAACCAUGAACCGUGAUAGUUUUGACUCAUCCAUUAGCACAUUUAGGGACUGUAUCUGUUCAAGAGAAACCAUAGCAACCAUAAAACUAAGCGCUUGCUCUACAAAUUCCUGAUAUUCUUGUGAUAGUUUGGUUUCUUCUUGCCCAAAAAUCAACUCCAAAAGCACUGACAAGAACCCAAUUCGGAUCAAACAAGAAUUACGAGAAGGAAACUCUUCACAUAAAAUUCUAACUCUUUGAAGAACUUGUAGCUUGUAUUCAUAAGAAAACUCAUCAGAUUCAAGUUUGAUUCUCAAAGCAGCCAUAGAAUCAAUAGUAGAAACACAUUGAGGGUUUAUUUGGUCACUCAUCUGAAGCCACUGACAAAUCAAAUGACGAAGAGUAUUAUUAGGAACAAAAGAAGGAUCAUGAAGCUUCUGCAUUGUAACAGGACAUGUAAGAUUCCCUGAUGCCAACCAUUUCUCAAUGCUUGAUCUUUCAUAAGUUUGUCCUGUGCAAAGAGUGACAGGAUCCUUAAACAAAUCAAGACUUAUUGGACAUCUAAACAAGUGAGGGAUGGUCUCAUGAUCAUCAGCUUCUUUCAUGGAGAAGAAAAAGAAUAAAACUAAUUACAAAAACCAGAGAAAGAAGAGAGUGAGUACCCCCUAUUAGAAAUUUGGUAAAAAGAGAGAUGGAAAUGAAAUCUUUGAGAGAGGUGGAAUGAUAAAAAAGGAAGAUACGGUGGGAAAGUUUUCAAAAGAAAGAGAAAAAAGGGAGACCGAUUGAGUUCUUAAAGGCUUUUCUUUUCAAGUCACAAAAGAAGAACACAACAGUGUGAUAUUUGAGGAAAGGAAAAUGGAGACCCCAAAAGCUAAAAGGCAUAAAGAGAGAUGAAAAACAGGUAUAGAAAUUGGAAUCAGAUGGUAUAAAGGUGGAUUUAGAAAGCAAAAAAAGCUGAAGGAAAGAAAAGUAGGCAAAAUAUUAAGACUUAAACAGUGAGUUUCUAUGGGGGAAAAGUGUACUGAUUUUGGUCUGAGCUAAUGCUGUUUCACACUGGCAGAUAUAACGAAAAAAAAAGAUAAAAGAGUAUAGAUCAGAAGAGAGGGACAAAGUAGAGGUUAAUCCUAGUGAGAGAGAUGAACAAAGUAAAAUGAUAUGGAAGAAGUAUGAGAAAAAUUGGUCCCCAUUACUCUAAUAUAGAAUUCAGUCAAAGUGACCCACCAUCAAAUAAUAAUAAUUAUUAUUGUCUUUGAAGUUUGAAUCAACCCUCAUAAUAAGAAAAAAAAAUGGGGAAAAAAGGAGAAAAAUAAUGGGUCUAAUUCCCUGUGAUAGAGAGAGAGAGAGAGAGAGAGAGUUUUGACUAAGAAUUUUUCUUAUUCCUUGAGAUAUAGAUAGAGAGAGAGAGUUUGACUGUGAAAUGUUAAUGGUAAUCACAAUUAGAUUUUGAUGAGAAUUCUGAUCUCAAUUAUGAUUAUAAACACUCAUACCAAUCAUAUAAUGCAAAUCUAAACUGGAUAAUUCUCUAAUAUGUGUACUAAUAAAGGUGGCCUUUUUUUCCCCUAUGUUCAUACCUUUAAGAUCUUUCAAAAUUCAAACAAAAUUUGAAUUCUAAAUUUUAUAUAUUUUAAAAUUUUGGUUUUAUUUUUAGAAAUUGGAUAUGAGUUAAAAAGAAAAAAAAUAAACCCAAAAUUUAAAAAUAAAUAAUCGAAUAAUUAUCAAACGUAACCUACGAGAUCAUGUAAAUAUGUACUUAAUUACUUUAUUUGAAGUUGCAAUUACUUGCUUGAUCUAGGCCAUAAAUAUGACAUAGGAUGGUCUAACAAUAGCGAAUCUAUUUGAACAAUAAUCAUAUCAAUUAUUAAAAGUUGAAGCAGUUUACACAACAAAAUGGUAUAUUCUUUCCUAUAUAGACAUGAUUUAACGACUAUAGAUAUAAAACAGUGAAGAAAAGUCAGAAUAGAUGACUUUUACUCUUUAAAUUUUUAUUUUUUCUUUAUAAAACGUAGACCAACUCAAAUAUUUAACUAAAGGAAUAGUCAUUUAUUUGAAGGUUCUAAUUUUUUAAGAUAUAUUAAAAUGAAACUACAAAUUUCACCUACAUCCCAAACACAUGUAAUGAGCUAAUAUACAUAAAACAGAAAGAGAAAAAUCAAUUGACUCUCCCACUUUGAAUCGCAAUUAUUUAUUUUUGAUUCAUUUCUAUUUUCAUUUAGAAGUUGAAAAUUAUUUACAUAAAAUUAUUCUUAAAAAAUAUCACAAAAUCUCUCUAAACAAGUAAAUAAAAGUAGAGAAGGAUUAGCAAGUGAAAAGUUACUCAAAUUUGAUGAAAAUCACUCCUAUAUCUAUUUAGAUCCACGACUUUAAAACAAAAUUUUAAAUAAGAGUCUAAAUAAGUUAACUUAAUUAAAUUGAUAGAUAUAUAACAAUGGGUAAUUAGUAUAAAGUUAAAAAAGUUUUAAUUAAACUAAUACAAAGUCAAAAUUUAAAAGUAUAGAUUAAAUUUUGUAGUCCCUCUAGAAGUGAUGUUAAAUGCGCAACAUCAUUCAAGUAAUUAAUCCACUUAGAAUCCAUAGUUUUUGUUGAGUAGAGAAGUCUUCAACAAUGGAAUUCCAUCACAAACUAAGAACCUUUUUUGUAACAAAAAGAGGCCAAAUUUAAUUUGUUCACGUAAAGUGUUACAAAAAAAAGUCACUCAAUUUUAUAUUAUAAAUAAAAAGAAAGAAUGGAAACUACCAAAUUAUGGAUUAUACCUGAUUAUGGAUUCAAAUAAAACUUUGUCUCAUAUAUAUAUAAAACUUAUAGCUUAGCUUAUAAGUUUACUUUAGAAAGACUUCCACAUUUUGCUUCCAAACCGUCUUUAAAGUUGAGGGACCUAAUAUUCAUUAUACAAAAUUAAAAGUCAUGAUAUGUAAAUAAUUAAUAAGGUCGUAGUUGUACAAUCUAUAAAACAUAUGUCAUAUUUGAAUAAUUAAACGGUCAAAGAUCGAGGAUGAUAAUGAUGACGAACUAAGUUGAUUCAAUGAACAUGAUACUUUUAUAUGUAUAUUCAUGUUAAUAUGAUGAAAAUUGUUGACAUGAACAAUAUUUGAAAUGUAAGAUAUUUAUGAUUUAGACUAGUUAACAAUGAAAUGAUGAAAAAGAGAAGGAUUAUAAGUUUUGAAACGUUACAAAAACGUUGGUUGAGUUAGGUCAUAUUUUGAAUAGUGUUGAAAGGAUGAUGUUUAAGAUUGAAUGCAUGCACACCCACCAUAUUUAUUUGAAGUGUGCCGGCCAAAGGCAUCAUCACAAAAACACAAAUUAAUUCUAUCAACACUUUGACUUUUUGACUCUCAUUAUAUACACCAAACUUCCCCACCUCAUGACUUCCUAAUGUUUAGUCUAUUUUUUCCAAUAGUGUGUUAUGGGGAUGAUCCAUUGCCCAUUAUGAACGAAGGGGUGAUUCCAAAUUCUCUCCAUAGUCCCACUUUUAUCAUACGACUUUCAAACGUGGAUCAAACUUUAGGUAUUUGUGUAAUGAUGUCAACCAUAUAUCGUGUCAUUUCAUUGAGGUUUUAAGUCUUAUUUGUAGUCGUUUGUCAAAAUUCUAGAAGCUUUUUUGUGACGGUAUUGUGUGAUUAUAUUAUAACAUCUAGAGGUAUAAUAAUUUGUGUUUGAAGUCAAGCAUAUAGAUACAUACACAAACAACUUCUCUAACUUCAUAAUAUUGGACAAAAGUAUAUAUCUAAAAGUGGUAUUUGCAAAGUAUAUAGAGAACAACCCACUAAUGAUACAAAAAGUAUUUUCAAAUUAGACGAUAAGAGUUCAAGAUGAAGGAAUCAUCAAAGUACGUUUAUCGAGAUCAAAAAACUUACGAUAUACUAAAAUAAUUUCUUAUAUAUAUAUAACAUGAGUGGAAAAUGUAUAAAUCGUUAGAAAAAUUUCUCAUUUUAUUCUCUAAUAUUAUGCAUAGUUUUUUGUUUUAAGCUUUGUGAAGACCCAUAAAAUGUAUUACAUAUACUUAAACACAUGGUUGGAUUGACAAAAAAAAAAAGAUGUUUUAAAUAAAUCAUUUUCAUCCAAACACUUUGUAUAACAACUUAGUUAUACUUAAUUACAUUCUUGAAGACAAAUUUGUUAAGUCUGACAUAAUCAAAGUGGAUGGUUGAUAUCUAUAGUUUCAAAAAGAAAAAUAAAUAGCAAAGAGAAAGUACUUGUGAAUUAAAUCAAAGCAAUGAGAAUGGUUAAUUAAGUAAACCAAUAUCCACAAAAGGUAAAAGACCAAGUUCAUUUCCCUUUCAAUGUUUACAAUAUUUUACACCCAAUUCUUUUAAUUUGAUAAAAAGGAAUUCAAAUGUCAAAAAGGAUAGUCAAGAAUAUUUUAGCUUUAAUGUUCCCUCAAGAUUAGGUAAGUUUGGCCAAAAGAUAUUGGAAGAGAGAGAGAGAGAGAGAGAUAUCCAAAGCCACAAAAAGACAAAUAAAUGAGCAAAAUACACAAACUAUUCAAAAUAAUAUUUUUUUAUUUUCUUCUUCUCUUUAAAAAUGAAGAAAAUGAACUUUGAACUUAAUCUUGUCGGCUUCUUCAAUACUUUAAUUUGAAAUUACAAUAUUAUUUCUUUUUAAAACAACUAUUAAUUAAUAAUCUUUUGUUAGAGACUUUUAUCUAAAGAAAAUAAAAUCUUUUAUUGGACUUUGUUACAUUCCUUACUUUGUACCCAACAAUUGUUUGAAGAUAAUAAACUAAUAGAAAUGUAAACAAAAAUUCUUACAUUGAUCCAAGAAAAAAGUGAUCGUGGAUAUAUAUAAGCAAUUAUUUGUAUUGAUAAGACUUCUACAUAUGGUCAUGAUUUGUGAAGUUGAAUGUAGGUAAGAAAAGGAAUGUAUAUAUAUAUUUCACAAGUUUUUUCCCUAGGUAGCCACUUUAGGUCAUUUUUAAAUGGGUACUAUUGGUAUAAAUUUUUAAGAUAUCGAUCCUUUAUUUUUUUAGUUUUAGUAUACAUUCAAGUUUUAAUUCCUUGAUCAAAGUGAGCUUAGUUUAACGGUAAUUGAUAUGACUUUCUAUUUUAGAGAUGUGAGACGUUCGAAUCUCUCAACCUUCAAUUGUUGUACUAAAAAAAGUUUCAAUUACUUGUAUAUAUUUCACCUCAAGCUUUAAUAAUUAUUUUUAUUCAUUUAGUAGUAAUUAAAACUUUAAAGGGAGAGAUUAUAAAAAGAAAAUUGAUAGGGAUUGAUUUAUUUUGAUGCAUUGUGAUAAAUUGAAUUAAUAUUUUUAUCGACGAAUUGUAAGUAACGCCCUCGAACAAAAUUUGUAGAUCCAACAACUGGCUCGAUUAUAGUCCCAUUUUGAAGUUAGGUUUCACGCAAUAACAUUUGCAUAUAUUCUAAUAUACUCCUCGUUGAAACUCAUGGAGAGAUAAUCAUUUUUACCUCAUGAUAUGCUCAUAUUUUCUUUGUCAACUCAUCAACGUGGAAUCCAUAUCUCUAUGCAUAUUGUAUAAUUAACUUACCAAUUAUACAUUUCAUUCUUCACACACACGCACACUAAAAAGAAAUCCAAUGUAAUUUUAUUUCCAUGCUACUAUUCUAGGCAACUUUUAAGUAGUUAGUCAAUACUUAAUUAGCGGUAAUUUGAUAUGAUCUUCCUUCUAUCUAUUGUACUAAAACGCAAACUUUUAGAUGGUUAAAAGUUGUUAAGUGUUUAUUGUGAAUUUUUUGGUCAAAUUUUGGUUGAAACAACACUUCAUAUAUUUUAUAUAUGUGUGUGAUCUAACUGUUGGGUUGGCCAUGCCCAUGCUCUAGAUGAACAUUAUUUAUAAUGAGCCCUCAGUCCAUGUAAUAUUCCUCCAAUUAAAUAUUAUAAACAUGAUGAGAAAAGGGAAAAUAAUAAUAAUCCAAGACAAAAUUAAAUGAGGUUUAAUAAUUAACUAAGAUUAUAUAUUGGAAAUUCAAAUAUCAUCUAAACUCAAAUACAUCUCAUCCAAAUAAGAAAGUUCACUUUCAUCAUCAUCAUCAUCUUCCUCAUAACAAAACAUACUUCUUCCAAUAAUAUUAUUGUUUUCUUUUGCUUCAAAUACUCUACAUACAACCCAUAUUCCAAACUCCUGUUCAAAUCACAACACAUACAAUCACCUUAAUAAAUCAACCCAACAAUAAUGUUUAAAUUAAAUAACCUAACAAUUCGAACAAUCUAGACUAUCCAAUCUAAAUUGUAUAGACUAGGUUAGGGUAACCCAAAAUUUAGAAAAUGUAACCAACAACUCACUCUAAUCUAACUCGAAUUUUAAAGAUUUGGUUCGAUUGGGUUGAAGAUACAAUCAUUUUGGGUUGCCAAUUUGGUCCAAAAACUUUCCAUAAUCCAACUCAAUCAACCCAUUUACCUUCACCUAAUUAAUCUCUAUACACAAUUAUAAAAUAUACCAUCAUUCAACCACUACUACAUAGUUUUAUGUUUUUCUCUAUUUAAUUUAAUUAUGCUCUUAGGAAAAUACAUACACUAGUUAAGUUUUUUUUCUUGAUAUGGAUUGUAUAGUUAUAUAAUCUUGUAUCUAUUCAGUAUUUGAACUUUUGGAUUACAAUUUAUGUGAACCUCCAACUUUAUCAAAUAGGUUAUUGAUUUUCUUUCAACUAUUUUUAUAAUUUACAUACCUUAGUGAUCGUAAAACAUUAAUAAAGCUUGAAGUCUAGAUUUGUUAUUAUUUUUAAAAAAUUUAAUAUGUCGUGAACUUAUUAAAUACAAAAUCUAAAGUUUAAAGACACAUUUAAUAUUUAGGAACCCUUUUACCAAACUUUAAAAGUUUAAGAGAUAAAUUUGUAAAUGAAUCUGCAUCCAAAUUAUCUAAAUACUUUUUUGGUUUUUUAAGCUUUUAAAUAUGAUUUUCAUUUUGGUCCUUAAAAUUUCUACUUCCGUUCCUAAGCUAUAAAUUUAGUUUUUAUUUGGUGAUAAUACUUAUCUAAAUUAAAAUUUAAAAAGUUACAUUUUGCCAUUGUGUUUGAGUUUUUAUUUCCAUUUAGUCUAUAAGCUUUAUAGUUUUAUACUUUUACUUAAGAUAGUAAAAAGACCAUAGUACCAAAACUAGUAAUUUCACAUAUAUUUUUUUAUUUAAUAAAAAAUUAAGUACUAAGUGCCAACUAGAAUGAACAUAUACUUCAUUUAGCAAAAAGUUUGUACUACAAAUUUCAAGAUUAGAACUUUAUUGAUUAUUCACUCCACGUAUUAUUUUUCUAGAAAAACACCCGCCAUACCAAUUACUUUGUCUGAUUUUGAGGGGAAAACAUGGUGAUCGAAUCUAUAACGAAAUGAAAAAGUGUAAAAUGAAAGAAAACGAAAAACGAGAAACAAGGAAAAAUAGUGAAAAUGUAAGAUUCUUGAGUUGUUUCACUUACUGAUUUUGUUUGUGAUAGAUUAUUGUUGUUGUUUUGAGAUGGAUGAGUAUGAUCAUGAGUGUUCAAAAGGUAGUUGUAAAUGUGAUACUCUUGCAUGACCCAACUUGUUUGAAUGGGUGUUGGUGAUUCAUCAUCUUCUUCUUGAUCACCAACAAAGAAAAUAUGAUAUUUUUUGAUACCCACUUCAUCCCCAUUGGCACCGCAAAAGAUUGGUUCAUCCAUUAAAACAUCUUUCCAAUAUCCACUCUCUGUUGCUCUACUUUCUCCCACUCUGCUGAAAAAGUAAUGAAUGUCCCCAUUUGACAGUGUUUUACCUGUGAAACACAAUAAAAUUUUAACUUUAAAAUAUGUGUUUUGGUUGUUUCAAUUUGGUUCAUAUAGAUACAAAAUUUAUAAAUAUAGAACUUUUACUUUUCACUUAGUAUUAUUGCUCUCGAAUUUGAAACUUAAAUGAAAACUAAAACAAAAACUCAAGAAACAAAAACAUUUUAAGUUCUAAUGAAGUCUACAAGUUUUAGAGAAGAUAAAACAAACUAGAAUCAAUAUUUACUUUAAAGGAAAACGUAAAAUAACACACACAUAUAUAUAUAAAUUUUAAAAGCAAGAUCUUAUGCUCUUCCAAUGCUCCUCAUCAAUCUAACUUAAAAGCUAGCUUGACUUCUUGUACCUACUGCAUGCAUAUAUAGCUAGCUAUAUUGUUCUUCGCAUAAUAAGAGAAAAGAUAGAGGGGGGGAGAGAGAGAGAGAGAGAGAGAUUAUGUAUAUAUUAUAUUAUACCAUGGAAUUGCCAAGGGUUAUAGAGAUGAAGCUGAAGAUGAGGAAUAAUAAUGGAAUUGGAAAAACGAUGAUGAGAGUUAGCUUUGUGAUAGAGAAAGUGAAGCACAAGGUCUUCAUCAGUUGGGCAGAAUCUAAGACCAGGAGGCAACAGAUUUAAGCUAUUAUUUCCACUUAUCCCACCUUCAUCCAUAUUAACAAACUCAAUCAUAAUAAUAUAAAUAACAAAUACACAAUAAUAGUAUUCUUUUCUUUUUUCUUUUUGAGGAGGUAACUAGGUUAAGGCCUAGUAGGUUUUAAUGGAGAAACUUUGCACCACAUUUGGCCUAUUUAUAUAUAGAAAUUAAAUGCAUAUAUGAAAUUAAAUUAAAUAUAUAUUUAAGAAGAGGAUAAUAUUAGUGCAUAUAUGUGUUUUGUUUCAUUGAUUUAAUAAAGGCAUUUUUUCCCAACACCAUGCUUCCUUGACCCACACUUUUGGAAUGAAAACAAAAUCAAAAGUAACUUUUUCUUUUGCUUUGUUUUUAUUGUAAAAGAGACACAAAAAGAAAAAUAAAGAAAACAGUAACUACUACUUUAUAUGGUCUACUAACACCAACUUGUGAUCAUAAACUUUAGGUUUAGCUUACAUUUAUAUUUUAUUUAUUAGGUAUAUGGUGCUAUAAGAUAAUGUUUAAGUUAAUGAUGGAAAAUUAUUUUCAACCAAAAGAUGAAAUUUUCAGUACUUUUUUGGGGGAGAAGUGACAAAGCAAUAGCAAUUAAAUGUUGUAAUUUUGUUUUAUUUAUAGAAGCAAUGAAUUAAUGGUAUUUAGUGAGAGUGAAAUGGUGUGGAUUGCAAAUGGAUGAAAUGAUAAAUGGGUAAUCAAUCAAAUCUGAACAUAGUGGGUGUCGUUGUUUGAUGAACUACUGCCUAAAUCAUUUUGUUUAAUCUAAUGCAUAAUUACGUUUAAAUUAUUCCCUCUCUUUGAUUAUUGACUUCACCAAUAUUUCUACCAAACAAAAAUAGAAGAUGAGAUGUAUUAAUCCACUAAAUGUUCCUUUGGAUUUUAAAGUCUCUAUCUAGUACAAUAAUAAUGACAAUUAUAUAUGUAGAGAGAAGAGUCACACCCUAACAAUUUAAUCGUGAAAGAAAUUAUUAACAUUUUGGGAUAGAUUUGAAUAAUGUUAAAUAUAAUCAUCAAUAUUGAUCCAAAAACUUAAGUUAAUAAGUGCACGUUCUAACGUUCAACAUUAUUAAUAUGAAUUCCUUAGGGUUGCUUGCUCAUGAACAUUUUGUAGUAAAGGAUCUUUCCAAAGAAAAAAAGAUUUGAGAGGUGUGAGAAUUGAUUAUAUAUUAAAGAUGAAAGACAAUUAUCAUAUAUUAAAAAUACUUAGAAUAUUGAUUGAUUUACAUAGUAAAGACAAGAUUAUCAAGGUAUUAAAACACUAAUAUAUACCUUCAAAAUUCCCAAUAAAUCAUACCAAUAUACACAAACAAACAGGAUGAAACGUUAGUUGACUCACCAAUUGAUCAAAAACUACUUUAAGUUUUUUUUAAAAAAAUAAGUAACAACAAAAAUAAAUAUAAAAAUUAGUAUAUUAUUAGAUUAAAAUACUUUGUGAAAGGGAUCUAAUAAUAAGUGGUGACAAAUAUAUUAUUUUAUGGAGUGAUGUAGAAUCAAAUCUAAUGAAGCCCUUAAAAUUAAUAAACACUCACGAGAUCGAUCAUUCAUUGUUUAUAAAAAAUACAUCAUCAUUGUUUAUAUGAAAGCAACUUCUUUCUAUUAUUUUUUAUUCUCCCAUCUCAUCAUUUUGUUGGAUGGGAUCUUAACACAUAUAUACAACAGAUUCUGCCAAUUAGAAUAUCUAUAUAGUUCUUUGAAAACAAAACAUAUAAUUCUAAUCCAAUAUAGUUGACAGACAAGUUUUACCACUCCAACACAAUUUUUUAUAUUAGAAACUUUGGUAACACUCUACUCCCUGUUAUGAUCACUUUCCUACAUAGGAGAAUAAACAUGUAUUUAUGCGUGCCAUUUAGUUGCAUUCAAAUUUUCUCGUGAUAGUUGUUCUUUAUUUUAGAAAUUCAAUUGUCCUAUACAUUGAAAUAGUUUAUAGAAAUGAUGGGUUUCAAUAUGCCUUUGGUUUCAAAUCAUCCUAAUUAGAAACACUUUUAUAAGUUUGAAUGUGCUAAUUAAUUCUUGUUAAAUUCUCUUUUGUAAUUUUAGUUUUGAGAGGUGAGAUUAAAAGGUGUGAGUAAUACUAAAGUUUUGAGAGAGUGUUCUUGUAAUUGAGAUUGGAAAAAGAACUAUUUAUAUUAUGUGUGAUAUAUUAUAACAAUUUUCACACGGUAAACUUCUUUUUAGUUAGUAGGUCAUGGUUUUUUUCUAGGUUAAGAGAUUUUCGUGUAAGCCUUGUGUUUUCUAUUAUUUUCUUUUAAUUUCUAUAUCAUCUUUCUACUUAUUUUGUCAAAGAGAUGAUAGAUUUUUUUUUUCUUCUAACAAUUGGUAUUUCAUAGCCUUAAAUUCAUAGUUUCUUGAAUGUUUGAGUAUACGUUUUAUAGUUACCGCACUAUUUAUAUACUUUCAUGUCACUAUUUAUAUACUUUCAUGUUAGAAAAUCGUAAACACUAAACAUUAAACGUAUUAUGAAUAUUGUGAAUUGGUUCACGCUACUUAUAAAUUAUUUAGAAGUGCAGCAAAUAUACGUUAAUUAGGUUUAUAAGGUGAAUAUGAAAUUUGUCAGUAUAGAAAUGAACUCAACUAAGGAGAACAACUUCAACUUGUACUGAUCAUAAUUGUAUUAUGAAUUAUACAUGAGAAUAAAGAGUGGUAAGUGCAUUGGCCUAAUAUUAUUAUGCAUGCUUUGGUUUAUCAAAAGCCAUAUCAUUACGUUACAACUCAUUAGGCUAUUCAAAAUGAUUCCCAUUUAUUGUUUUAGUUGAGAGGUCAUAUCUAAAAGCAUUUUGAAGGAAUAAUCUCAACCACAAAAGCGAAGCCACUUUUGUGCUUAUCCCAAUACAAAAGGAAAGAAAAACACUUUGCAAUUGCAAUUGAGUUGCAACCCAACUCUUUUCCCAAUAUUAUCUUAUUUAUUUAUUAUUAUUAAUUAGUUAAGUUUGAAUGCAACUUGUUUGUAGUUGCAAACAAAUACUAUAUUAUUUGGCAUUUGUUAUAUAUUUGUUUUGAUAAUCAUUUAAACUAUUAGAACACAGUUCUAUACAACUAAUAAGUGAUGAUCACCAUUAGACAUUUAGGAGAGAUUUGUAGUGCGAAAGUUUAAGAACCUAUAGUUUAAAAAUGGUAAUGUAUAGGAAAUCUACAAUUCUGGAGAUAACUAGACAUAGUAAAAAAUUUAAGAAUCUCUAGUUCCUUUACAAUUAUCAUGAUUAUAUGUAUAUCUAAUCAUCCAAAUUAGUUCUAGAGUAGUACUUAGCUUCAAUGUAUAACUAGUAUUAGUCCACGUGAUAUAGCAUUAGAUCAAUAGUUUAGUGCUUUUUCAAAGAAAUUAAAAAUGGUUGAUAAGAGACGAAUAAAUUGAUAGAUAAUCAUAACUAUUAAUUUUAUUUCUUGCUCCUUUUUUCUAACCACCACUCACUUUAAAAAUUGACAUAUGUUUCUUUUUCGAUAUAGACAAGGCAUUAUUAGUUCAAUCUAUAUAUUUAAGUUAGCAUGGUUUAUUCUUAACUCAAUCAUAUAAACAUGGAAAUAAUCUUUCACCCUAUACUUACCUAGAAAUUUAAUUCAUAUUAGUACCUAUAAUAUAGGUAUUUCAAAAUCAAUAAAGGGAAGAAUAAUGAAUUGAAAAUCCCAUCAUUAGUUCAUCUUGUUUUCAAUCCUUACAUAAAAUUGACACAAUAUCCUAGCAUGCAUUUAAUCUUUCUUAUUGAUUUUAAAAGUCUAAUUUAUUUUAUAACAUUUAUAAAAACUUUUAGACUUAAUCAAUCAUUUUAUCAAUAUAUAACCUUAUAAAAACAUUCAAUUAAUAUGGAUUUUAAUUUAUUUAACUUUAAUUAAAUCAUAUUUAAUUUUAAUUUAAUUAAAUCAUAUUUAAUUAAAUUAAAUCAAACAAUAACUAAUUAAUUUGAUUAAAUCAUAUUUAAUCAAGAAUAACUUAAUUAAUUAAUCAUAUUAAUUAAUUUCCAUAUUAAUCAAUUAACAUGCAUACAAUACAAUAUAACAUUUAUAUUAUACAUUUUAAUGCAUGAACAUGUUAACCUAUGGUGGGAUUUUAAAUCUAUAUGACAUUCAAAAUGCACAUACAAAUUUAAAGUAAUUUAAUCAUACAUCACAUGCAUAAAUAAAAAAACACCCUAAAAUGGACUGAUUUUUGGCUCCUAAAUUAAGUUAAGUACUAAAUUAUUACAUAAUUAAUUUGGUGUAGUACAGAACCACUCCCAAAAACUUCGAACCGGCUGAAAAACUAACCGAAACCCCUUGAACCGGCCCAAAAACCAAAUUUAUUGGCUUGAACCGGCCCAAUUAACUAAACAGGCCCAGGCGCACACGGGUCGGGCGCAGGCGGGCGCGGCGGGACAGGCAGGAGGGCGCGCGGCGCAGGAGGGCGCACGGGCGCAUGCGGGCGCGCGGCACAGGCGGGCGCGCGGGCACAGGCGGGCGCAGGAGGGGCGCGCGGCGCGUGGGACGCAGGCGGGUCGCGCAUCGGGUCAUGACCGGGUUUUCGGGUCUGUGACCUUCUUUUCUUCAUUUUUUUUCAAUUCUCUCACCCGGUUGAACCCGUUACAGCCUAACUUCAACUCUAAUGACUUUUUUAGUUUUUAAAAAAUUACAAACACUUUGCAACAAUAAAAAUAAGCCAUUAACAAGGCUAAUUACAAUAAUUAGAACAAAAACACUUAAUCUAGAGCCAAAUUCAUAAUAUAUCCAUUUUAGUUCAAACCAAAAUUUAUCUAAUAAAUAUGAACCCACCACAUACAAUUGGGUAAAAAUGAAGCAUGCUCUGAAACCACAUGUACCAACUUGAUCACCACAAGUCCCAACUUGAUCACCACAAGUCCCAACUUGAUCAUUGAUGGUACUUGUGGUGAUCAAUGAUCAAGUUGGGACUUGUGGUGAUCAAGUUGGGACUUGUGGUGAUCAAGUUGGGACAUGUGGUUUCAAAGCAUGCUUCAUUUUUACCCAAUUGCAUGUGGUGGGUUCAUAUUUAUUAGAUAAAUUUUGGUUUGAAAGUAAUGGAGAUAAAAUGGGAUUGGAAGGUUUCUUUUUUCUUUUGUUGAGAUGAUGAAAAUGAUAAAAGAGGCAAAAGUUCUUCAACAUUUGAAAACACCUCUAUUUAUAACCUAAUUACAUGCAAAAAUGCAUGUAAUUCAUUUGCCAAAUCUCAACACCUAAUGUUCCACUAACAAUUAGUGGGCUAGGUGUCUAUAUCUCAUAUAGCCACAUAUCCCACUAAGAGUUAGUGGGAUUAUCCAACAAAAUGUUGGAUUUUUCCACUAACUUAGUCCAAGGGUAAAAUGGUCAUUAGAUAUUUCUAGUCAAAAGUCAAACUUUGACUUUUCUAAGUCAAAAGUCAAUAUUUUGACUUUUUACCAUUUUGUCCGUCUUGACUAAUUCCAACCUCCCGAGCAUGAAUCCGCAUUCAUUUUUCCAAAAUUCAAAUCACAUUUGAAUAUAAGGCCGGUCAAAGUUUGACCUUUUCAAAGUCAAAAGUCAACAUUUUGACUUUUUACUAUUUUUGACCAAUUCCAUCAAUUCUGAGCUUCUUAGUAUGAAUCCGCAUUCAUACUUAUAGUAUGUAAAACAUAAAGCUCUAUUUCUAAUUAGAAGACCGACGACUAUAUCACUAUAUUUGUCGGUUUCCCUUUCUUCUCCCAAUUCGAAACAAUUCGAGCUUAUUUCAUCACACUGUUCUAAGUUUAAUCCAUAUGAGCUAGCAGAGGAACCUAAUGGACCUAUAGAUCAUGGGCUCCAACGAUUCAAGAUUAACUAGCUAAACUCUUUUAAACCGAGUUAAUCAACAUUCGUUAACUAACGGGUCAUUCCACUAAAGUCCCGUAGUUGCACUCCCCUCACUAUAGAUAUAUUUGUGUCCAUUUGAUAAAACCAUAAUCAGUAAGUUAAUCCUUCACAGGUUGCUCGUAACCUUGGCUGGGUCAAAAUACCGUUUUACCCCCAAGAUUACAUCUUGCUCCUUAAGUCCCACUAAUCCACUAUUGAACAAUUGGUUUAAGGUUCAACCUAUAAACUUAAUCCCUCUCGGGCCAAUGAGAGGGUGGGGCCCCUUGUUCAAGACUUGGAUUCAGUGCUUAAGAGAGCAACCUAUCUACUAACCCUAAAGCGGGUAGGAGUGAAUUCCAUCUUGUACCCUAUGUUCCCAGCUAUCCACCGAUCUUACCCCUGAAAUGGGAGGCUUAUUGGGCCAACGCUGAUGAGCUGCCCUCACCUAUGCAGAUCUAAGGAUAAUCUCGUGUGAACAGGAGUUCAUAGUUAACUCAGGAUUAAGACUAAGUUACCUAGGUCAUCAAUAAUUGAGAUAGUCAGUUUUAAACAGUAAACGGUGUUAUAACGUAAAAAUGACUAAUUCAUGGUUCAGUCUUAUGUAAACAUUUUACAUAGGAUGCCCCCACUUUCAUGUCUCUACAUGAACGAUUAGGAUCACCUCGUUUGUACUACAAAGUGGGCCGCAUCCAUAGUUUCUCUAAAUAAGGCGCCCAACCUUUAUUUCAUAUACUAUAGACUAUUUAGGCUAUAUACUCGAACUUGAUCCACGUUUAUGUUUACACAUAAAGUUCAAGUUUAUUCAAAAAAUAGCCUUGGAACUUGAUUUAUUGGAUUUAAGAUUAUAAUAUUUAAUUUCUCAAUAACAACUUUAUUGAACAGAAUAUGAUUUACAAACUACGAGUUUUAGGACAAAAAAUUCCAACACUAAAGAGGUGCAAGAUAAAAAUAAAACAAUUAAACCCUUCAAAAACAAGUUUUGGGAUAAAAAAAAUGAGUAUGUGGCAUCACUGGUCACUUUUUGUGGAAAUUUUUUUCAAUAUUAUUCAAAAUGAGACUAUCUAGUAGUCAGAUUUGAAUUUUCGAUACUUUUCACAUUGUUCUAAAUUGGGUCGUUUCUUUGUAAGCUAUAGCAUGGACAUUUUUAGAACCGUUUUGGGUGCUACCAUAAUACAUCACUAAGGAGCACCAGUCUCGACCAUUAUGCAAUUUUCUGUGUCAUAGAGUAAUGCAAAAGAUAGGAUGUCGCACUUAUCAACCCACAAUCAUUGAGUUAAAGAGGUGCAAGAUAAAAACAAAAAAAAAAAUUAAAAUAAACGCUUCGAAGACAAGUUUUGGGACAAAAAUAAAACAUGAGUCUUAGAGCAUCAUGGAUCAGGUUUUAGUUUUUGUGGGGAAAAAAACUUUAAUAUUACUCAAAAUGACACAAUCUAGUAGUUAGAUGUGAAUUUUCGAAACUUUUUAACAUUGUUCUAAAUUGGGUCGAUCCCAAUUAAUUUUCUACUUUGUAACAAUGUUUCAUUUAUGUCAAUGGUUAGGUUGGAACAAGAUAUAAGCGUUAGGUAUGAAAACGGGUCAUGUUUGUUUAUUUUUCUAGAAAAAAAAAAUUGACAUAAUCCAACUCAAAUUUGGUUUCACAAAGAAGUUGUUCGACUUGACUCGGAAAAAAAUUAGAAACAAAGAGGAAGACCUUGAACAACCUAAAUUUGAUAGAAUUUAGGUAAUGAAAAUGAUUUGAAGAUCCAUGAAUGUGAAGGGCAGCUCAAUUAGAUAUGAAGUACAUAAUGAUCAUGUUGAUUAUUAUUGCAUGCAUUUAGGUUUGAAAACCAUGAAGUAUUGAGAAAACAUAAAAGUGAAAUUCAAAGUUUAAUUUGGAUGAUUGGAUGUUUUUGUUGAAUAUGAUUUGGGAUAGACACUAUUUUUCCACCUCUCUUAAUUCAUCAUUCGCCAAAUGGCUACACAAUUAUAUACAUCCAAUAUAUAAGAGAUAUAUAAUGAUGAACAAUGUUUCAACUUUAAUUAAAGUGAUGGAAUCAUGGAAAUAUAUGUAAGAACGAUGAGUUCGCAUGCCAAAUUGCCAUAAACCACUCCAUCUUCAUUGAUUUCAUAAGUUAUAUGAUAACCUUUUCUUUUUCUGUUUUUCAUUUUUUACUAUAGAUUUUUUAAAUUAUUAAUUUCAUUUUUCGUUUUCAAUUUUUGAAAAGAAUAAACAUUAGUAAGAUUGAAGAUAAACCCAAAUAAACAUUGGCCCAACAUAAGAUAAAACCCCAUUAUUAGCAAAAUGGGCUCAUAUGGGCUGUAAGCUUAUAAGGGUAACUACCCACGUGGGUCAUGUCUAUCGUGCGGUCAGCCGUCAACUCCAUAAUGGGUUGGAAUCUUUUUGGAUCUGGGCUAAUUGGGCCAAUUGGGUUUGCUCCAUUUAUCUUUAAAGCUAUGUUUGCUCCAUUUGAGUCUUGCACUCAUCCGUAUAACUCCAAAAGGCACUUGAGGCUUCUAAAGCUAGCUAGAUUUUCUCUAUCAAUAAACAAACUUGAAGACAAAGUUAGUAAAUUGGAUUAAGUGAUUUUAGUUUCAUUAGAGUGACCUAAAGUAAAAAAGUAGGAGAUGAGAUCUUCUGGUUUAGGGAUACACAGAGUCGUCCUAAGAUUGAUUUUGUGGAGUGAGUGGGCAUCCCAUUGGGUUUAACCAAACAACAUCUAGAGAUGUGAGAAAGGGUUGAAAUAGUUGGAUGGAAGAAAGAGAGAUGAAUGGAAAGGAAGUAAGUAUUCACGGGGUAACAAAAGUUUGAUAUUAUUAAAAAAGAAAAAGAAAACAAAGAGUUGAAAACAUGGAAAUGAGUUGUAAGGAAGGAGUGAUGGAAAAGUUUGGUUGGGUACCCAUUGACCACAAAACAAUGGUUCACGGGUGCCUUUACACUCUCUCACUACAUCCUUUUUUUAAUCACACAUUCCAACAAACACUAAGGCCAUUUUUCUUUUAACAAACAUAUACAAUUUACAUUAUUGAUAUCUUUUCAAUAUUUAACACAAUAUUAUAUAUAUAUAUAUAUGAAAAUUUGUAUGGAUGAAAAAUGAAUCAUAACGAAAUCAAUUUAUUUAACUAUUUUAAAAAAAACAUUAAUUUCAAAUAAAAACAAAGGAAAGAAAAUUGAUGUAUAAUUUCCACACAUAAAUAGUUUUAGGGCAAAGGACAAAAUAGAAAUAGGUAACUUUUGAGGACAACCAAGCAAUUUUUGAAAAAGUGAAGAAGAGCUGAAUCUUCUCUUUUGCUCUCAUCCACAAAAAAGAUUUGCCCAUUUUUUUCAUCUAUUUUUCCUUCAAUUUUAACCUUUUGUUUGAAUAGGAAUUAAUUCUCCACCACACAAAAUAAUGAAAAGCUCAUAAAUCCAAAUGCCUUUCUUACAAAAAUAUAAUAACACUAAUCACCCUUCAAUUUUUGUGGUCCACUAGUUUUGCAUGUAAAUCCAAAUCUUUGGACCCAUGGGGUGGAAAAAUUGAAUAAAUAUCUAAAUUUUUAACAUACUUUAUACUAAAUAUCAAUUCAUACAAAAAUAGAUUAUAAAUGUAAAGGAGUACUGUAUAGAAUAGAGAAACACCUCAAAUUAACUACAUAAUUUUAAUUAACAUUUAAGUUAACUAUACAUUAUUGUUUACUACAUGUAACAUUAAUACAUAAUAGAGAGAAAGUUUACCAAAAGAAUGUAAAUUGAACUUAUGGGUUCACUUGCAUGGUAAAAUUAGUAGUUACAAAGUAAAAAUGUUAUUAUUAUCAUCCCUAUUAAUAAACCUUUCUUGUUGGCUAAAAUAAUAACAAAGACAUGAUUGAGUAUUAAUUUAGGAAACCACAUAAUAAAAGUGCUAAGAAAUAGAAGGGAUAUGUUAUAUUACUUUAUAGUAUUGAAUCAAUUAUAAAGGUGAAUGACAAAAAAUAAUGGAGUUAGAUUAGAGUAAUGUAUGGUCAUAUGUACUUAAUAAUUAAUUAUUCUUUUACAUUAUGUCAUGUUUUUAUUUAUUUAUUUAUUUUUUUUUGGUCCAAUUCAUCUAAUUAUCAAUACAUUAAACUUAAUUAUUCAAGUUCCUUUUGACAUUAAAACUCAUCAUUUUAACUCUAUGAAAGGAUUUGGAUGAAAUGUGCAGUUGUAAGAUUCCUUACCAUAUCAAUUAGCUAUUUGUAUUUUUAAUUUGAUAGGAUGAUGUAAUUAUCAUUCUACUACAUAAUAAUACAAUUGAAUGAAGAUUGAUACAAACAAAAAGUAGUUGCAAAUAUAGCAAUCAAACCUAAACAAUAACUCAUCAUCUUUCAGUCUCUAAUAAGUUUGAAGUAGUAAGAAAAAAGAAAAGAAAUGAAAUGAAAAAACAAAACACUAAGAAUAAUUAUAUUUAAAGAAGAGAUAGAAUGCCAAUGUUGGCAUAUUGAGAGAGAGAGAGAGAAUGAGAAUGUGAAGAAAACAGUGUGUGUGUGUGUGUGUGUUUAAGGGCUUAGAAAGAAAGCAGUGAGCUGAGUUAGUAAGAAAAACCCAAAUCAGAAGAAGAUAACUGAAAUGAAGAAGCAAGAAGAAGAACAACAUCAAGAACAAGAAGGAUGCGACAUUGAAGCCAUAGGAAUCACCUACAAGAUUCAAAUCCAUAACUCCAAAUCCCCAUUUCUCAACUUCUUCUCCACCUCAAAACCCUCCCUCCGCCAUCGCCAUGUCCUUUCCGACGUCAAUUGCCAAGCCAAAUCCUCCCAAAUCCUUGCCAUUGUCGGCCCCAGCGGUGCCGGAAAAUCCACUCUCCUCCAAAUCCUCGCCGGCAAAACCACCCCUCACGGCGGCUCCCUCCUUCUCAACCACCUCGCCGUCGACCCUUCCUAUAUCAACCGAAUCUCCGGCUACGUCCCUCAAAAAGACUCCCUUUUCCCUCUCCUCACUGUCGAAGAAACUCUGACCUUCACCGCCCGCCUCCGUCUCUCCCUCCCUUCUGCCGUCCUCACCGCCAAGGUUACUUCUCUGAUCGACGAACUCGGUCUGACCCAUGUCGCCCGUUCCCGAGUCGGCGACGACCGAGUCCGUGGAAUCUCUGGCGGCGAGCGGCGGCGGGUUUCAAUCGGCGUGGAAGUGAUUCACGACCCCAAAGUUCUUAUUCUUGACGAACCCACUUCCGGUCUCGACAGCACUUCCGCUUUUCAGAUCAUCGACAUGCUGAAAACAACCAUGGCUGAAGCUCAGCGAAGAACCAUCAUUCUUAGCAUCCAUCAACCUGGAUUCAGAAUCGUGAAGCUUUUCGAUUCCAUUCUUCUUCUUUCCAAUGGCUCUGUUUUACACCAUGGCUCUGUCGAACAUCUCGGACUCAACCUCACUCUAAUCGGCCUUCAACCUCCUCUUCAUCUCAACAUUCUCGAAUUCGCCAUUGAAUCCAUCGAAACAAUCCAACAAACCCCAAAUCAAACCCAAUUGUUAAUCCCUCACUCCCAAUUAAAACCCCCUAAAUUCACCCUGCAACAGCUAUUUCAACAAUCCAAAGUCAUCGACGAGGACACCAUCAAAAUCGGAAUCCACAAAUCAAUCCCUCACCAUUUCGCCAAUUCCCCAUUCAAAGAAACGGCCAUCCUCAUGCACAGAUUCUCCAAGAACAUAAUCAGAACAAAGGAGCUUUUCGGUUGCAGAACAGUACAAAUGUUGGUAACAGGGCUUGUUCUUGGUUCAAUUUUCUACAAUCUCAAAUUCGAUUUAAUUGGUGCUGAAGAACGCGUGGGGUUAUUCGCCUUCAUUCUCACAUUCCUAUUAACAACCUCGAUCGAAGCCCUCCCAAUUUUCUUACAAGAAAGAGAGAUUCUAAUGAAAGAAACCUCCUCAGGUAGUUACAGAGUAUCCUCAUACGCCAUAGCCAACGGAUUAGUAUACCUUCCGUUUCUACUAAUCUUAGCAAUUCUGUUCUCAAUUCCAUUAUACUGGCUAGUGGGGCUUAACAGAAACAUAAUAGCGUUUCUUCAUUUCAUGCUGUUGAUAUGGCUGAUUCUAUACACAGCAAAUUCAGUGGUGGUUUGUUUCAGUGCAUUAGUGCCAAAUUUCAUAGUGGGGAACUCAGUGAUAUCGGGGGUAAUGGGUUCGUUCUUCCUGUUCUCGGGGUAUUUCAUAUCGAACCAGGAAAUACCAAAGUAUUGGAUAUUUAUGCAUUACAUAUCAGUGUUUAAGUACCCAUUUGAAGGGUUUUUGAUAAAUGAGUUUUCGAGAUCAGGGAAGUGUUUGGAAAUGAUGUUUGGGGAAUGUGUAGUGAGAGGAGAGGAUGUGCUGAAGGAAGAAGGAUACGGGGAAGAAAGUAGGUGGAGAAAUGUAAUGGUAAUGGUGGGGUUUGUUUUGAUCUAUAGAUUUGUUUCUUAUGUUAUUCUUAGAUGUCGAUGCUGCAGGAAAACUGGUUUUGUUUAACAGAAAUGAAGAAGAACGAAGAUGAAGAAGAUGAAGAAGAUUGAAGAUCGAAGAAGAAGAAUAAGGACAAAAAAAAAUCUCUCUCUUCACGAGUUUGGAUUUGAAAGAUGCUCUUAGUUCACGUGGUAGUUUUAAUUGUAGCCAAAGGUUAUACUCACACGUGUUUCUUUGUUCUUUCGGAUUUUUAUUUUUAUUUUUUGCCCUUUCUCUCUAACUAUAUAUAUAUAUAUAAUAUAUGUAAAAUUUUCUUUUAAAUUAACAAUUUGGUGUGUGGUUUGUUCAUCUAAGUUCAAAUUUAUUCAACCAAUUAUUUAGUAGAGAAAAGCUUAAAUGGUGAAAGUGAUUUUAAGUAAUCAAAAUUUCUUCUUACAAAAAUUGUGAAGUAUCAUGAAUAUUUCUUUUACAUAAUUCUUUUCUUCGGUAAAAGAUAAGUUCAGGUUAAACAAAACUAUUUUUUUAUUUAUUUGCCAAAUAUGAUAUUUAACAUAUUAUUACUUAUGAAACACAAAUAAAAGAAAGAAAGAAAAAAAGAUCUGUAAACAUAGAUUCAGAAAUCCAUAUUAAUAGAGAUAAAUCGUGUUAAUACCAUUAAAACAUACAUGCUUUGAAAGAACUAAUUUCAAAUGUUAGUUGUUUUAGGAAAAGAACAAGCAAAACCGAGAACAAUGACUAAGCAAACAAAACGUAGAUCCAAUCACAACUUUCAUAUAUGCGUGAGUAGUGUCACCUCAUUUCAACAACAAUCAUGGUUCAAGAUUUGAUUUAACUAACAAUUCUAUUCAUCACUCCCUAACUAUAGAAUCACCAAUUCAAUCAAUUAUAUCACCAUCAAAGAAAGAAAAAAAAUGGUAAAAAGUAUUUUUAUUUUUGAAUAAUUGAAAUGCUCCAUAGUUUUCAACCUUUAAUAGUUUAUUUAACAAAAAUUGUAAAACAUAGAAAUAUAUUCUAAAUAAAAUAAACGACAUAUAUCUCACAACUCCACCUUAACAAAUUUAACACUUGAAAAUAAACAUCAUGAAUGAAGACUAAAAAUCCAAACUUUCAAAAUUAAUAAAAAAAAUUCUCAAAUUUGAAUGAUUUUUAGAAAAGCUCUACAAAUAGUGUCUCUUCCCAAACUCGGUUAUUCCAAUUCUUUUUCUUUACCGUUAUUUUCCCCCUUCUUCAUCAAUAAUUUAUAAAACACUCUCCCAAAUUCCAUCCCCACCCCAUCCCUUCUUCUAUAAAACAAUGGACAAACACACGGUAACCUCCGAUGAACUUCUCGGAAUCAAAAUCUACACCGAAGAACACGCCAACGGCGGUGGGCGGAAAAGACGAGCAAUGGCAAAAGGAAUGCAAAAAACACGCUCAAAAACCUCAAUGCUAGCUAGUAAACUUCCUUCCAACCGGCACUCUCCUAACCUUCGAAAUGCUUCUGCCGUCGGUCUCCGGCAAGGGGGAGUGCACGCGGGUGAACACGAUGAUGAUAUAUAAACUUCCUCUUGGGCUUAUGCGCUUCUAUCCUGUUUCUUGUUUCACUUCACAGACAGUUUCAAAUUAGGCGUGGACGGGAAAGUUUAUUACGGGAUCGUGACGCGGAGAGGGCUGGCGGUGUUCAAGACGGGGUUGAGUGAGGUGGAAGUGGCGAAGGAGGAGAGGUUAUGGAAAGCUUUCCUUUGAUGGUGGGAAGCAUUUGUAGUGCUUUGUUUUUGGUGUUUCCUAAUACUAUAUAUUAUAUGGUAUUGGUUGUAUGGCUAAUUGACUCUAUUACCCCCCACCUUUUUUUUCUUUUUCUUAAUUGUUAGGAUUUUUUUAAUAAUUAUUAUUCUAAUUUUACUAAACUAUAAUCACCAAUUCAAUCAAUUAUAUCUAUAAAAGAAGAAAAAAAUUGGUUAUAUCUAUAAAAGAAGAAAAAAAAUUGGUUGUAUGGUCGUGUAUGUUGCCAUGGCCUUUGUUAAUUCUUCGAAACUAGAAAGAACAAAGAUCUCACAUAUUCAUACAGGUGGAAAAGAUAGAAACAUGCAUCGUUUUGAUUGAAACUUCUUUUAUUGAUAGAGGACGAAAAAACAAAUACAAGUAGUCAUACACCUAAAAAACGAUCAUCCAAAUCAAAAGAUAUGACCUAGAAACUAUCCAUUUCUCAUGUGUCGUCAAAUUUUGCCUAAUUGCUUCUUAGAGAUAGUUUGUUUUAGCUCCAUUUUCGUCCUUACACUCAAUUGUGCUUCUUUGAUGCUUAAAACCAGUAAAAUAAUCAAACAUAAUAAGAACCUAGAAUUAAGUGAAGCUAGAUAACAUAUUUAUGGUGCUAUCAUUUAUUUACCAUUUCACACUAUAAUUUUAUUAUUUCUAGUUUAUCUUACCAAGCCAGUGUCAAUUUUCUUUUCUCAUUCUCAAUGUUCUUUUAUUUGCUUCAAAAAUUCAAUUUGAAAAAAAAAAAUGUGAGAAAGUUGAGAAUUGAAGAGGAAAAAAAAGAACAAAAUUAGUUUUUUUUUUUGUUUAUUUGAUUAAUUAAUUCAAGAAUGUUGAUUAUGUUUGAGUAUUGACAUGAAAUAUUUAUCGAAAAAUUAGGAAGAAUUUUCAUCAUUUGUUGAAAUCAAAGUAAGGCUCUCUCUAAAAGUGCUUGUAAAAUUUGGUAACAAAAUAGGGUUUAAACCAAAAGAUUAUAAAAGAAGAAAAAAUAAUAAUUACUAAUAAUUAAUUAACAUUGUUGGGGCAGCCCAAAGAACGGUUGUGACCUCCAUUGCAGAAACAGAAGAACAAAGCUCAUUUGGUUGUAAAACCAAUAGAACGAAUCGAAAGCCUCCCUUGAGAGUUAUACAGUUGAAAAUGGAGCUUCAAGAUUUUGCGCCAAUUUUUGGUAAACCCACCAGAGUGGAGUGGGUAAACAGGGGUUCACUUUCUUUGCUCCAAUUUUUGUUCCAUGUUUAUUCUCCAAAUCCUUCGCACCUCAGAUUUCUUGUUACUGAUUUUCAUUCUAACACUUGGGAAUCCACCAAAUCAGCUUUCCAGCUUGAGGAUAUGGUGGGCAUCUUUGAUUUCUCCCUGUACGUCGUCUCUUUGUUGCAUCCUUCUUCUUUGAUUUCUAUUAAUAUGUUGUUCUUGCUUCUUUUUUUCCUCUUAGCAAAUGAUGAAAUGGGAUUGUUUUUUAGAAUUUGUUGGUGCGAAAAGCUCUACUAUUUUAUGUAAUCUUUGAUACAGAGAGAUGACAUUGGAAUUGGAGGGGCUUUUUCAGAGUUUGUUGAUUAUAUUGUUGCAUCUAUGAAAUUUGGAGAUGUAAGGCUUUGUAUGGAAGGACAAUCGGGGAAAGAUGGUAAUCUUCCUGAUAUGUAACUAAUUCAAAUUCUCUUUCCCAUUCAAUAUAUUGUGAAACUCACUCCUUUUUUUAUUAUUCUACAGGUGCAGCAUCUGUCAAACUAAUUGCUCAGAAAUCAAAGGGAAUGCCUGUAUUUUCCAUUUCUCUCACAAAACUUGUUGACUCUGCUGCUGCUGAAGCUAUGGCAACUAUGUCCUUGGGGCUUUUUAACUCAUUAAAAGAAAAGGAGUGUUCACUUAUGAAAGGUUUUCAUCGCUUAUCUAUAGACUGCCUAUAUUCUGUGCUAUAGUCAUCAAAUAUGUCGAUAUCGUUUGGUUAGAAAAAAAAAGAAUACAUUUUUAUAGUGUUUGAACAGAAGGAAAGAUGUUGGAGGUUCUUAUGAAAUAUAGUGAUCGGGUGGGCUCAGUGUGUGGAUCAUUCUAAUUAGAUGGAAGGAUAGGCAUCUUUAGUUUCUUUUCCCUUUUUGUUCCAUCUAGAUUUUGGUAUUUGGCUUUCAUUUCUCUCAAAUAACUUCUCACAGCAUUCUACAAAAUUGUUUGGUAUUUUGUUAAGGCCUUAGCCACAAUUUUAUUUAUCAACUAUGGGGAAGGAUUUGAGAGUUCCCCAAUCUCUCCACACUACUCUAAUGAGAGUCUAUACCAAAAUCAUUUAGCCAAAAAGAUACCCACCCCCAACAUUCACAAUACCUAAAUAGGCAAACUCUAAGAAAGCUAACAGAAUACUUGGCCCCACUUUAACAGUCAUACUCCUAAGGGCCCACCUUACGGGAAAUUACUAACUAACUCUCAAUCAUUCUUUCUUCUUCCCACUUUUAUUCCUAUGUGAAUACACCUUUACUAUGGGGGGUCUAUCAAAUUUGUAUCUGAACAUUGGCAUGUUGCAUUUUUUGUUAUGAAUUAUGCAUAUACAAAAUAAUUGUCUUAUAUUCAAAUGGAUAUAUUAGAAUGUGUCAACUCUCCGGUGUGUCUGUGAACUUUAAGAAUACCUAAUUUUGGUUCCAUUCGUAUGUGAUGGGCCAAUCCAGUCAAGCUGAUUUGAAGUAGGGAAAUAAACACAGUACUCUCAAUCAAAUCUGUCUUGGGAAGCUGUUUCUUUUUAGUCUCCCAUUGGUGUGGUUUUGUAGGACUGACUCAAAUAUCAUGUGCGAACUGCUUGAAAAUGUUUGUACUUGAAAAUUACUUUGUUUAGACUUUAGGGUACCGUGUUUAUUGAACAACAAACUACGUGAUGUACAUGGUUUUAGUUUUUCUUUCUUUAUUAUUAUUAUUUUUUUUUGGUAACUGUGAUAGCAUAGUUUGAUGUAAUAUUCAUUUAUAGGUUAAAUUUAGAACAAGAUUUUUCUCAGAAAUGUUCAAUUUUUUGCAUGCUUGCAUUGAAACUUAGCAUCUGUAGCAUUGACUUUUCUCCUAUACUGUUCUUUCAGAACAAGAGCACUCCCUUCAGUUGACAACCAUGAUAUCAACUGAAAAGGUAUAUCCAUCUUCGUCUUGCACCACUGUAAAUAAAUAUGAUACAUGGUGAUGGGCACUUUUAGUUUUAUACUUAUCGAUAGACUUCAUUAAUAAAUACAUUUAAUAAUACACAAUAUAACGAUAACAAGAUUUCUUCUGAUUUCUUCUCUUCCACAGCCUCUCUUAUAUAUCAGAACUCAAACAGUUUACUCUAGUCAAUACUGUUCCCUGUUAUUAGUCUGCAUAUGUUUUGUUAAUUUUUACUUCCUUUGAAACUUUAUUUAUUAAAUGUUAAUAAGAAAAAAGAUUAAAAAUUAAAAAUGAAGAACACGGAUGUUCUUUAUGUCUCACUUAUUCUUUCAUUAUAUAUGACCUCAUGUAACUUUGUUAGCCAUUUCUUGGUUGAAAAACAUUUUCCAUUACAAUACCAAUUGCUUCCUUAUCCCCUAUGGAUUCAACUCAUGGGUCUUUGAGUUUCUCUAUUUUUGUAUUAAACAUUUCUUAUUUGAGAUUAUACUUUUUGUUGAUGUCAGGAAAAGAACGAAAAUAUCCAAACUCAGCUCGGGCAAUAUAGAAAGAAACAGAAGUUACAAAAUAUGAAUGCCUCAAAUUCUCCUGGUAUGUUCCUAUAAUCAAUCCAUUUAAGGUAUUAUGAAAUUAUAUGUUAUGUACUAAAGGACUGAUCGAUUUUUUCCGUUCUUCACAGAUAAAUCUGGCGUACAUAAUAUUGGCUUGACAAAAGCCACCAAUCGUGUGGUGCCAGUACACCGGAGGUCGGUUUCUCAAAGUUACAUUCAUCACAUAAUUCAAUUGAUUUAUUCCCAAUACUAAUAGAUGUACUUAGCAUUGUAUUUGAACAGGGCGAAAGCUAGGGGUGCCCUUCUGCAAGACUCUGAAGAUGACAAUGGUAGGUAGAGAAGUUGAAUGUCUUGUAUCCAAUCUAGUUUUGUACAGAAUUUUGAUUUCUGAAAAGCUGCUCUAGCCAAUCACUCUCUUCCCUUUGAAUGGAGAAAAAAAAUCCCGUGGUAUUGAGUUCCUCAAUGGUUUGCUUAAAAAGGAACAGGAAAUCCUUGUUUAGGGUCAAGAGGCUAUCUCCCUGUCGUUAUCCCAAAGCUUUAAAACUUUUGUUUCUUCCAUGCAAGUUUUACUUUCUAGCACAUCCACGUUAAAUGAUCUCAUUUUUUCAUAUAUUUUCUUUUAAUCUACACUAAUAGAGAUGUUCCUUCCAUUUUUUUCCCAUUUUUUCUUACAGAAAAAGAGCGCUCCCUUCAGUCGACAUUCGAGGAAAAGGUAUAUUCAGUCUCCUGUCCCCUUUAUGAAUAAAGCACUUUGUCCUUUUAUAGACGGGUUCUUAUUGUCUUGAAAUACCUCAAAAUUAGUACAAGUAUGACCAUAGUCGUGGUGUAUUUUUGGUGCCUUCGGAGCGUAUUUUCAUCUUGCUCAUUAAUUGUUUGUAAAUUUUUUAAUCUACUUUUGAAUAUGUCAGGAAAAGAAAGAGGGGUUGCUAAAUACAGAUACCUUGGCCAUUGUAGACAAUCUUCAUAAGCCUCCUAGUAUGUUUUUUAUGGUUCCCUCUAAAAUUUAAGCUUAUUUGUUUUUAUUGAAAAGAGAGACAACGAGUUCACACCAAUUUACGUGGAAACUCGAGUACCGGGAGAAAAACCACGAUUGUUUGUUGUUAUUAUUUUCUAAUGAAUAAAACAAUAGGUACAGGGAGAAUAAAUAGAGUACACAAUGGAAUAAAAAAGGAAAAGAUUUAGGAAAAUAAGGAAUACAUUCCCAUAAUCUUUCCAUAAUUAUUCUAGGAUUCUAACAAGGAAAAAGCCUAGAAAAAAAGGAAAGAAUUCCAACACUCCCCCUCAAGUUGGGACGUAAAUAUCAAUGAGGCCCAACUUGCUAACGCAAAGUCGAAGUUUGGUCUGAGAAGCCCUUUGGUAAGAACAUCAGCAACCUGUUGACUCGAAGGGAUGUACGGAAUGCAUAUGCUCCCACUGUCAAGUUUUUCUUUGAUAAAAUGUCGAUCAAUCUCAACAUGUUUAGUUCUAUCAUGUUGAACAGGGUUGUUAGCAAUACUAAUAGCGGCUUUAUUAUCACAGAAAAGCUUCAAUGGUGUCUCACAUUCCUGAUGAAGAUCUGUCAAAACUUUCUGAAGCCAAAUUUCCUCACAUAUUCCUAAACUCAUAGCUCUGUAUUCAGCCUCAGCGCUGCUCCUGGCCACAACACUUUGCUUCUUACUCCUCCAAGUUACAAGAUUGCCCCAAACAAAGGUACAAUAACCAGAGGUAGAUUUUCUGUCAACAACAGAUCCUGCCCAAUCCGAGUCAGUGUAUGCCUCAAUGGUCUUUCUGUCUGUUUUUCUAAACAUCAGCCCUUUACCAGGUGUUGAUUUUAAGUAUCUCAAGAUUCUGUUGACAGCUUUCAUGUGUUCCUCAUUAGGGGUCUGCAUAAACUGGCUGACAACACUCACAGCAAAGGAAAUAUCAGGACGAGUAUGAGAUAAGUAAAUUAAUUUACCCACGAGGCGUUGAUACUGUUCUUUAUCAACUGGAACUUGAUCAUCAGAGUUUCCUAGUUUGCAGUUGAAUUCAAUAGGAGUGUCAGUGGGACGACAUCCUAACAUACCUGUCUCGGUUAACAAAUCAAGGAUGUAUUUUCUUUGAGAUACGGAGAUACCUUCUUUAGAUCUGGCCACCUCCAUUCCAAGGAAAUAUUUCAAAUUUCCCAAAUCCUUGAUUUCAAACUCAUCGCCCAUUCUCUGCUUUAGUUGACUGAUUUCUGCCUGAUCAUCUCCAGUCAAAACAAUGUCAUCCACAUAAACUAUUAGAACAGCAAUCUUUCCUGUUUUGGAAACCUUUGUAAAUAAAGUAUGAUCAGAGUGUCCCUGCCUGUACCCUUGGGACUUGACAAAGGUAGUGAAUCUGUCAAACCAUGCUCUGGGAGACUGUUUCAGACCAUAUAUAGAUUUCUGGAGUUUACACACAUGCUGACCAAACUGGGCUUCAAAUCCAGGCGGAGGGCUCAUGUAGACUUCCUCUACGAGGUCUCCAUUCAAAAAGGCAUUCUUAACAUCCAGCUGAUAUAAAGGCCAAUCUUUGUUCACAGCAACAGAUAACAGAACUCUAAUAGUAUUCAACUUAGCAACUGGAGAAAAAGUUUCUGAAUAGUCAAUACCAUAGGUUUGAGUAAAUCCCUUCGCAACUAACCUUGCCUUGUGUCUGUCAAGAGUACCAUCAGCUUUGUAUUUGAGAGAGAACACCCAUUUGCAUCCCACAGUUUUGUGUCCCUUAGGUAGAGUACAAAUGUCCCAAGUACUAUUCUUUUCAAGAGCUUUCAUCUCUUCCAUGACAGCAUUCUUCCAUUCAGGAUACUUUAAAGCAGUGUAGAUAUCUUUUGGUAUUAUGGUAGAGUCAAGGCUUGCUGUAAAAGCUCUGAACUGAGGAGAGAGACUAUCGUAGGAAACAUAAUUGCAAAUGGGGUGUUUAGUACAAGACCUGGUGCCUUUUCUCAGAGCAAUGGGAAUGUCAAGAGAGGAAUCAUACUCAUCUGAUUUUCCUGUAUGACCCUGUUCCGCUUCAUUAUUACGGGUUUCUAUUCUGACCUCAAUCUCAUCACCACUGUCCUUUUCUUCCACGUUUUCAAGAACAGCAACAUUAGACCUGUCAUUCUCACUUAUCAUAUUCUUAGUACAGGGUUCAGUAGGGUUUUCCAUACCUUGAUCUCGAGGAGGUUCAGAGUCUUGGACUGGAGCCGGCGGCUGACUAGUAGGGGAACCGACUUCCUUUUUGUGAUUCCUCCUGUAGUACGUUUUCCAGGGGACUUGGUUUGUGGGUAGGACUAUGGAAUGAGGAAUGAUGUUAGACACGACACUAGGAGUGGGUUCGAUGAAUUCAAAGGUGUUGUUAGACUCUUCACUCACACUCUCCCCCUGAAGAUGGCUAACGGGAAAGUAGGGUCGAUCCUCACAGAAAGUAACAUCCAUAGUGACAAAGUAUUUUCUGGAUGGUGGGUGAAAACAUUUAUAACCACGCUGGUGAGGGGGAUACCCAACAAACACACAUGCCUGAGCCCGAGGGGUAAAUUUGGUUUGAUUAGGGCCAAAAUUAUGGACAUAAGCGGUACACCCAAACACACGAAGAGGAACCUCAGAAACAUGACGAGUCGAUGGGUAGGACUCCUUAAGACAAUCUAAGGGAGUUUGAAGAUGAAGAAUACGAGAAGGCAUUCUAUUGAUUAAAUGAGCUGCUGUAAGAAUAGCAUCUCCCCACAAGUAUGAAGGAAGGGAAGUAGAAAGCAUAAGGGAACGGGCUACUUCCAGAAGGUGACGGUUUUUUCGCUCGGCCACUCCAUUUUGUUGAGGAGUGUAGGCGCACGAGUUUUGAUGAACAAUCCCCUUGGAAGCAAGAAAUUCACUAAGGUUAUGGUUUUGGAAUUCCCGACCAUUAUCACUCCGAAGAAUAGCAAUUUUUUGAUGGAAUUGUGUUUCAAUGGUGUGAUAGAAAUUUUGAAACAUAGAGGAAACCUCAGAUUUAUCAGUGAUAAGGUAGACCCAGGUAAGACGGGUAUGAUCAUCAAUGAAGGUUACGAACCACCGUUUUCCAGAUGAGGUUGUUAUCUUGGAUGGUCCCCAGACAUCACUAUGAACAAGAGUGAAGGGUUGGGUUGGUUUGUAUGGUUGUGAGGGAAAAGAGACUCGAUGUUGUUUGGCCUGAAUACACACAUCACAAGAUAAGGUAGUCAUCUCAACUUUAGAGAAGAGAUGUGGAAAUAAAUGUUUCAUAUAUUGAAAAUUAGGGUGGCCUAAACGAAAAUGCCACAACAUACAAUCUUGUUCAGAAGUAGUGAAAUAGGAAGAUAAGAGACUAGUCCUAGGAAUGCUACUAGAAGAGGUAUCGUCAUCAAGGAGGUAGAGUCCCCUACUAUGCCGGGCAGUGCCAAUCAUCCUCCCCGAGCUCAAGUCCUGAAAAGAGACAGAAUCAGGUAAGAAUAUUGCUUUGCAGUUUAACUCAUGAGUGAUCUUGCUUAUCGAAAGCAAAUUAUAAGAUAGUUUGGGCACAUGCAAAACAUUAUGUAAGGAGAGCCCUGCACAAGGAGAAAUCUUCCCCUUUCCAGCAAUGGGGGCCAAGGAGCCAUCUGCAAUUCUAAUUGUCUCGUUCCCAGCACAAGGAAUGUAAGAUACAAAAUGUUCAGAGGACCCAGUCAAAUGAUCUGUGGCACCAGAAUCCAGAAUCCAGGGGUUCUUCCCAUCAAUACUAACAAGACCGAAGGAAUGAGGUAUACCUGAUUGGACAAUGGCACCUAAAGUGGCAAGACUGAGAUCAGUUUGGUUUUUGUGUGGAUCGGAUUGUUGAGGAGGUUCAGCAGACUCACUCACAUACGCCCGCCCUGUGUUCUGUUUGUCGUUGGAAGGGCGUUUCUUACUUCCUGGGGGACGACCAUGUAACUUCCAACAUUGUUCUUUGGUAUGCCAUUGUUUUUUGCAAUGCUCGCAGACAGGAAUUGGUUUUCCAUUAUGCUUGUCACUGCUACUGUUAGAAGAUCUUGCACUAAAAGCAGCAGAGUCAAUAGUAGGGGUUGCGGAAAUAUUCAUAGCACUUGUGCGAUCUUCCUCGAGGCGGAUUUCAGAGCAAACUUCCAUCAGGGAGGGAAUCGGUCUUUGACCUAGUAUACGCCCUCGAACUACAUCAAACUUAGGAUUAAGACCAGCAAGAAAGUCAUAAAUCCUGUCAUUCUCUUCAAUUCUCGAGUACUGUACACCAUCAGUGGGAUCACGCCAGACUAGUUCUCUGCAUAGGUCCAUUUCUUGCCAUAUAAGAGAAAGCUUAUUGAAAAAGGAUGUGACAUCCAUGGUUCCUUGCUUGCAUUCAUGAACUUGCUUUCUCAGCGUGUAUAGACGAGAGGCAUUCUGACGUUUUGAGUAAAGUGUCUGGGCUGUGUCCCAAAUAUCCUUGGCUGUUGCAGCAAACAAUAACGGCUUGCCAAUUUGAGGUUCCAUACUAUUGAUCAAUAUGGAUCGAAGAAUAGAGUCUUCUGCCUUCCAAUAUCGUUCAUGUGGGUCGCCCGGUAGGGGGCGAGGUAUUUCCCUGUCAGAAAGCUAAAUUUUUGUCGUCCUUCGAGGACCAUCUUUACUGACUGAGACCAUGAGAAAUAGUUGUUGCCAUUCAACUUUUCUCCUGAAAGAUGAUACAUGGAAGACUGAGCCACCGUAUUAGUCACAUAAGGAGAGGAUACAUUAGGGAACGAGUUUACCGGAUUCUCAGAAUACAUCGGUAGAGUGGAUGUCGUCCCUAAGGUAGCCUCAAGUGCUGCUAUCUGUUGUCGAAGCCCUUCCAAUUGUUGAUGAACUAUUCCCGAGGAAGCUUGCACGUUACGGUUGGAAUAUGCCGAAGAUUCACCAACCUCAAAUGUUGAGUGAAUUUGAGAGUUUUUAACAUCGGGAUGGUAGCUAGGAUCAUUGGGUGGCUGGCCAUACAGAUUUGACGAGCAGAAGCGGUGGUAGCCGAUUGGAAUUAGAUGGCAGAACAUAAAUCGGGGCGUGGGGAGCAAUAUAGGCCGCGGACGAAGAAAAGGGUUGGACAGAUGGGAUGGUCGGCGCCGUCUGAGGAAGAAAACCAGGCGCGUGGUGGUCCGGUGACGGCGCGGACGACUGCGGUAAUGACGAAAAAUUAUUUUCGGACGUUUUCUGUAGCCGGCUUAAUAAUUCGUCCAUGGCAGCACUCAUCCGAGCAUCGGUGGCAGCAGCUACGGCAGCACUAAAAUUGAUGGUUGUCCCUUCUGUUUGAUUUUAAUCAGUGGUUUGGUUUUUUUGGGUUUCUAGGGUGUUUUCAUUGUCCCGCUCUGAUACCAUAUUGAAAAGAGAGACAACGAGUUCACACCAAUUUACGUGGAAACCCGAAUACCGGGAGAAAAACCACGGUUGUUUGUUGUUAUUAUUUUCUAAUGAAUAAAACAAUAGGUACAGGGGAGAAUAAAUAGAGUACACAAUGGAAUAAAAAAGGAAAAGAUUUAGGAAAAUAAGGAAUACAUUCCCAUAAUCUUUCCAUAAUUGUUCUAGGAUUCUAACAAGGAAAAAGCCUAGAAAAAAAGGAAAGAAUUCCAACAGUUUUCAAGGUUUAAGAACACUUUUGGUCCCUGAGCUUUCACGAAAGUAAUAAUGUAUUUCCUAAACUUUAAAAUGCAAAAAUUUUGUCUAUUUACUUUCAACUUUGUAUGGACUUUAGUCUCUAUGAUGAAAGUGUUCAUUCAAAUUAAGUGUUAAUUUAUAUUACAUAAUGGCUUAGUCUUCAUAGUUUAUAUGUGAAUUUGAUCAUCAAUGAGUUAUAAACCUACCCGGGUAAGAAACUUAACUCAAUCACAAUAAUAAUUUCCACCAUAGAGAUUUGGUUCUUACUAAUUGUAAAUUACAAGAACUAAAUUGUUACAUUUUAAAGUUAAGGAACUAAAUUGUUAAUACAUUUGCAAGAAUGAGGACUAUCUUUUUGUUACCAACUAAAGUUGAGGGUCAAAAUCGUUAGUUUUAUGCUAGUUUAGGGACGAAAAGUGUUUUUUAAUUAUUCGCUACACAGAACUCAUUAUUGAAUUAUCUUAUUCUUAACAGACAAAUCUGUUCAUGAUAUCGGCUCGACAAAAAUCACCAAGCAUGUCGUGCCAACACAUCACAGGUUGGUUUCUUGACUAAAUGAACCUAAUUUUGUUUGUUAUUUCCCCACGAACGAUGGUAAACAUACUGUAGCAUUGUACUUGAGCAGGGCAAGAACACGAGGUGCCCUUCUGCAAGAUAACGAAGAUGACGAUGGAAGGUAAAAAAAACAAGACAGUUUCAAAAUGUUGAGUCCUUGUGUUCAAAACUAGUGUUAGACAUGGAGUAGGUAAACAAAAUAAUAGAUAUGAUUGUGCAAUGCAGACAUUUCUUUGUUGUAUAUGAUUACGUAAUUCUCAUCUAACUUUGGCUUUCUGCUCAAUUUAGAUUCGAAAAUGUGUAAAUUUUCGAAUGACGAGUAGAUACAAAUUUGAAAUAUAUUGUGCAGCUUAAAACAAGUCACAGUGUGAGACUUUUCAUUAAUUUCUCAAACAAAUCAGCACUUGUUGACAACUUUAUAUUACCAUAUGAGUUAGCUUGAAAAAUAUUAUUAUUAUUAUUAGAAUGUAGAACACAUUUUAAUUUCCAAUAUAUCACGUUCUACAAUUUUUUAAACAUUUAUUUUCAAAACUCUUGACUUUUCUUUAGAAAAAACCAAAAGCUUUUGUUCCAAUAUAUCAGGUUGUAGUCUUUGGCCCUUGAAUUUUGUUAACAUUUAUUUUCAACUAUAUUGACUCUUUCUUUAGAAAAAAUAAAAAAAAAAUUCAAACGAUUACCGAUAAUAAAAAUAGAUAAAGAUAUAAUUUGAAAGAUAUUUAUGAAUAAGUUUAUGAGUAAAAAUAGAUAAAGAUAUAAUCUAAAAGUCGUAUCAUUAAUAAAAGUUUAUCAAAUCAAAAAAUUUAUUACGAAAAAAAAAUAUAGAUAAUCUAACGAAGAGGGAAUCCAAAAAUGAUGAUGUAAAAAGGAAUGAAAAAGCAUUAUCCCCACACUUUAGUUUCUCGUACAAUGAGAACCAUCCAAAUUGUGACAAAGACAGAAAUGAGAUAAGCACAAACCACCAUUAUUGCAAUACAACAAUCAACUAAACUCAAACUCACUCACUCACCUAGACACAACUUUUAAUGCACUCUUUUUGAAAAAGCUUUCCCAAACAAAAGAAGAAGAAAAAAAAACUUAUAUAAUGUGUUGUAUACAAAUUAUUUAUGUUUAUAUGCAGAGUUGCAUUCAUGAACCACUGAUAUAUAGUGAAACUGAUAUGAGUUGUAACUUUUGUAGUUCUAUUUCAUUGGUGCCUCAUAUGGAAGUGGUGGUGAUUGGUGGGUCAUAUACUCAUUAAGAACAAAAAUAAUAAUAAAUCAAAUGAAAAAGUUACUUUUUACUUUUUAGAAAAAGCGAUUGCAAAUGACUAAGUAAUGGAGACAUUGAUAGGUCUAUCAAUAUAUUUAUAUAUAUUAGGUGAGGCAAUUGGAUUAGAAUGAUAAAAUAGCAACUUUUAUCCAAUCAAUUACUUUAUAAAUGUUAAAAGAAGAACGAAGAAAGAGUUGUUUUUCAAAUUAAGCAACAUAAACUCUAUAUUUUGACAACAAAGUUAAAAAGAUAACUUUAUAUUUUUCUUCUUCUUUUAUAAAGAUAUGAUUGAACAUACACCAUUUCAGGAGGUGUCGGUGUCCACUAACAUUAUGCCCAUCCCAUGGUUGCUUUCAUUUCAAAAGGAUCAAAAUUUGGAUAUGAACUCUUACAUUUUGCCUUUUGGUGUUACCUAACUUUUCUUUAAUUAAAAUUAAAGUGUGUUUAGUUUGGAGCAAUUCUAUGUUCGGUGACUUUUUGAAAAUUUUCUUAGAAUGGAUGUGAGUGAAAACAAAACAUGCUGAAAUGACUCUAAUUGGUUCGUGGAACAACUUUCACUCUAAUAAGUCUUUAAGACAAGUAAGAAUGAUAUUGUCAAGUCGCAAGUAAUUAGACGUUACAGAUAUAUAGUUUUAUUUAUAUAUAAACACAUAUCUACAUUAGUGAGGGUCAUACGUUUUACAGAGUGUUUGUAUUUACUCAGUAACACUAAUAUCAUUUUCACACAUUUAAAUUUAUGCACGUUAUAGAUUUUAUUAGGUAUGUAUACAACUUAAUAACACUAGUAAGUAUAAUGUUUUGUUGGUGUAUAUACAUAUAUACAUAAUACGUCUACGUUUUUGCAGAUUAUUGAUUUAGUAACUUUCUUUGGGUGAAUUCAAUUUGUUUUUUUUUGUAACAAAACUAAAUUGUAAAGUCUAGUGUUAGAAAGUAUGGUUUCUCUCCUUCACCCUUUGUUUAAUAAUUUUAAUAAUUUUAAGUUUUAAUAGAUUGUGUUCAUAUUAAGACGAUGGCAUAAGCAGAGUUGGGUGUGGGGCACCGCCGUCACCACCACUACCAAUCUUCAACAAAUCACUUUAACGACGUAUGGGUAAAGGCAGUUAGUAUUAUUGGGUUAAUCAAUUUUAAAUACAUCUUGUACCACUAAAUUCUUUUACUUUAUUAUCUGUUUUUUACCAAACCAAAUCUUUCUUACACUACAAGAGUUUUUUUUCUUUUUCUUUUUUAUCUUUAUAAAAAAAAUACAAACCAUCAUAAUAAGAAAUUAAGAAAGAAGUAAAAGUUAAAAAUCAAAGGUUAAUCAAACGGAUCUUCAAUGUUGAGCUAUUACCAUUUAUAUCCACGAUUUGUUUAAAUAAUAUUUAAAUUCUAAGUCUUCAGUCAUUUUGUGAUUGAGUAAUUUUUAAUAUCAUCCUUCAGAAAAGAAAAGGAUUAGGAUUAGGAUUGUCCUAAUGGGAGUGGGAGUGGGAGUGGGGAGUAGAGAAUUUUGUGAGGAUGAAGAUGGGAUAGGGGGGCGGGGACGGGGAUCGGUAGUGGCAUCCCCGGCCCUCCUCGUCCCGUGGACAUCUCUACUCCUCAUCCCCGUCCCUCACCAUUAAUACCGCGCAUAAGGAGUGAUCCAUUUCCGAUAACGAAAAUCGUGCGUGGGGAAUGGUCCCAACGCUCGACGCGCAAGUGAAACCGUCGUGUGUCGAGUGAUGGAUCUUACAAGGUGGGUGGGAGGGGACGGGGGGGGGGGGGGGGGGGGGGGGGGGAAUAUUUAUAAUUUUAAUUAAGAAGGAUAGAUAUUGAAGAGAGGAAUGAGAAAUUAGAAUGAAAUCAAAACAUUAUAUGGUAGAUGAAACUUAACAUAAAUCAAAGCACAUAGAAACUAAAUAGAAGAGAGAGAGAGAGAGAGAGUUGGAUGAAUUCAUUUGUUGGUGGUGGAGGAUGAGUUGGCGGCGAUGCCGAAGUUGCCUGUGGAGAGAAAUUGGUUUUUGAGUGCGCUCCUCGACGCCGGAUAUUGAGAAGAAUAGGAAUAACCCGGAUAUGGAGUAGUACAUGGUUUCGAUUUCCGUUCGGCGCCGGACUUCAUUUUUUCUCCGUCUUUGUCUUUUGAUUUUUGCUUAUCGCUUCUCUCACUCAUCUUUUCCCCUUUCAUAAUAUUAUCUUCCACCUUCCAAAUAAUAAUAAUUGAGCUUGAGCCACCCACGCAUUUAUAACCUUAAUUUUACACGUGUCUUUUUCUUUUUACUCUUUUAAAUUUUCCAUAAAAUUACAUAUUCUAUAUACAGCUUACCUUCAUAAACCCUAUCUACUGUUGAAUCACUUUAUCUUUACUAUUUAGGAUAAUUUUCUAUAAUCAUAAAGGCAGAUGAAAUUUUAAUUUGGUUGCUAUGAUUCCAAAAAAAUAUAAU
This 69718-nucleotide long non-coding RNA is filed under the name Cucumis sativus (cucumber). Its description in RNAcentral is "long non-coding RNA (CSAT_LNC000685)". Lineage: Eukaryota; Viridiplantae; Streptophyta; Magnoliopsida; Cucurbitales; Cucurbitaceae. The record is from RNAcentral.